UGGUGAACCCAUCAACGCGAUUUUGGGUGUUGAGGAGGAAAAUUGUACGAUCAGAACGUUUUGGAGGUUGUGGGGUUCCCAUCUUGGCAAUGAUUUUCUUGGUGAAUGCUUUGCUACGUUCAAAAUCAUUCCAAAGGGGUGUGAGGGGUGGUGGAGAAGUUGGAAAAACUGAUGCAGAAAUUGUCUUGUAGUUUAGAAUGGUUAGACCUUGUGUGGUGUUAGGUUUUCUUCCUCUAACCCCAAUUGAAAGCCAAUAAUUUUUCUUUGGAUCUUGAUCUGUGCGAAGGAGAACUGAGUAGGUCUCACCAGAGUAAAUAUCCAUAUCAUCAAUCACAAAUGGUGUAACAUAGUUUCCAUCAGCUUCCACAACAACAAGUUUGUGAUUCUACAACAUAAAGAAAUUUGGUGGGACUGUUAGUUGAUUCAUAAAAGUGAAAUUUAUGAUGGCACCAAUUGUAUAAUAAAGUGAGAAUUCAUUCGCCAAUAUGUCAAAAGACUUUUGAGAAUUGAUUUGCUUUCUCUUUGAGGAAUUUUGUAAACUAGUUUUCUGUUAAUUAGAGUGUAUGAAAUAUAUAUUGUAUGUUAUAAAAGGAAGAAACACAAUUAGUUUGUUUCAGAAUAUUUAUGAAGAAAUCACUGUUUACUUUAUUCUUUUUAUUAAUUUAUAUUCACUUAUUUUCUUACAGAAUUUUUUAACUAGUUACACCUUCGAAUUAUAUUAAGAAAAUAAAUUUACUAGAACUUGGUAGUAUAUAUUUUUCUUCAAAAAAACAAGUACUUGUUAAUAUAUAUUUUAGCAAACCCUUGGAAUCUUAAUGAUUACAUGUACUUUUGCUUUUAUUCUCCUAAAUUUUCCUAUAUUUUCGACACGUCAUUAUAUUUUACCAGUGUGUGUACGACAGCAACUCAGUGAGUCCCAUUGGUAUACAUAAAACCCUAAUUUCCAAAUACAGACCAUUCUUUGAAGGACAAAUAAUUGCCACUAUUUUCUAACACCUCCCAUAGUUACCUUUAUACAUCUAUUUAAUUCAACACUAGAAUACUUUCCUUUCUUGCCACUAUUCCCAUUUUACUUUAUUCUCUAAGGUGUUUUCUUUUGGCACUACUUUUACAAUACAAUAAUCAAUAGUUUAUGUACAGAGUAUGUAAUACUUUUUUAUAUUUUCUUUUAAUUUGCAGAAUAACUUUUUAUAGUUAUCAUAAAAAUCAUAGUCAUCCAUAACUUCUAACCAAUUGUGAAUAUAAAUUUUUAUAACUGGUAUUAUAUAAAAUUAAAUUCCCAAAAGCUUGCUGUUGUUGAACUUUUUUGAAUAGGAAAAAUGCUUCAUAUAUUUGACUAUAUAUAUUUGAUAUUUUUCCACUUUAAAAAAUGAUAGAAUCUGUAAUUCUUCUAAAAAUAUACACAAAAUUAACGUGUUAAUUAUGUGCAACUAUUAUUUAUAGUAUAAAUUUCUAAUCCAUUAGACUCCUUCAAAUUCCAAUACAAUGGUCUUUUUUUUGGAUGUACACAAAAAAAGUCAUGCAUUCACAUUAAACUUUUUUUCUUAUAACACUACAAGAAAAUCAUGAAAUAGAAACCAAUUUUUAGAUACCAAAAUAAUUAGUUACAAUAGAAACUAAAAUAGAGACCAUUUUAGAAACUAAAAAAAAAUUAGUUUCUAAAUUAGUUUCUAUUGUUUUCUAUUAUUGUUAAAUAGUUUCUAAAUUGAUAUCUAAUUAGCAACUAAGGUUUUAAGUACCAAUUAUUUAGUUUAUAAAUUUGGUAGAAAAACCUUGGAUGCUAAUUAGAUACCAAUUUAGAAACUAUUUAACAAUAAUAGAAAAUAAUAGAAACUAAUUUAGAAACCAAAUUUUUUUUAAUUUUUAAAAUGUUCUUUGGUUUCUACAAAUUAUUUUCUAUUUCAUAAUGUUAUUGUAAUGUGAUAUAUGAAAGGUACACCAUUAAAACCAUCUUUUUCUAUUACGUGUUUUCCAUUUUCAACUUCCAUGAUGAUACGUGAGUCAAGUCUCUAUUACCUUAACACCAACUAACACUUAAAUUAUUAUAUUAUUAGUAACCAAAAAAUUAGUAAUAAUGUGAUGAAUUACUGUGGGUUUCUCCAUUUUUCUCAUUUUGGUUUGAGUGAGAAUAAUGUAAAAUAUCUUAUACUAAUUAACCUCAUCAAACGUCUGAUGGUCACCAAUUAAGAUGUAUGUGCAUGACACUUUUACGAUUCAAAGUUAAAAAUAGAAAACCAAAAAAAAAUAAGAUGCAAUAUAUAUAGCUAGGUUAAUAAAUAUAGAAAAAUGAUACAUUAACAUUAUUAUAGUAAACAAUCCUUUUUUUUUAUCUAAAAUUUCAAUUUUUAUAUGAAAUAAUAAAAAAUAUAUUUUUUAUAUUAUUAAUUAAAUAUUGUAUACUGAACAUGUUGUCAACAUAUCAUUCUAUUCUUCAUAAAUAUAGAACUCACCGAAAUGGCUAAGUUGAGUGCAGCAAGGGAAGUGGUGCUGGCAACCCUAAUCCUGUAGGUCUUGUUUGGCUCUACAUGAAGAAUUUGAGGUGCACAUUCUUCACCACCUUUAAAUUGGCACUCGGGAAGAGUGGUGUUUAUGAAUUUAGCUGCCAGAGAACAAUUGAAUUGUCCCCUUCCAUUGAUCAGCAGACUCUGAAAUGGUGAAUUUUUUAGUAAAGAGUGAGAAUUAGAUCUUAGAAUUUUUUUAUCACAAUGAAUUAAAUUAUUUAGAGUAUUUGAAAAAUACUCUAACCGCAUAUAAAAAUAGACAGUUAUAUUCUUCGAAAAAGAUAAAAAAAAUAUCCUCUUUCACAAAAAAUCUAUUCUACCCCAAAAGGGAAAUUCCUGAUUUUAUAUGAUGAUACAAGCAUCAACAUUACAGACUACAACUUUUCUCAAAAAAACUAAUAACUCAAAUUAGUAUGGCUACAAAAACCAAACAUGCCACUGAUCAAUAGUCAGUUUCUAGAAUGUGUAGGUUCCUUUUUUUUCUUUGUAUGUUUCUUUUCUUUCUUCCUUUUGAGUGAAUAAAAAAGCUACUACUAAUGCACUAUUAAAUUGCACAUUAUAUGUAUGUGGAACAGUCUGAAAUUAAAUAAUAAUUUUUAAAGUAAUGUGAAACUACAUUGUCUUGAAAUAUGUUUUGGAAAGGGAAGAGAAAAAGAAAAAGAAGAUAGGGUAGGUUGUGGAGGAUUCAAAAAGAUGCCAUAUUAUAAAAAUCCAACCCUACUUUAACCAAAUGGGUCACAUGUGCAUCUUUUUUCAAGAUUACUUUGGGAAUUUGAUAUGAUGUUUUGAUUUGGUUCUGAUACCUUUAAAUCACAAUCAUCAUUUCUUUUUUUGUCAUACGCGGAGGAAAAGUUGACAUGGUUAUUUCAAUUGCUUCAUGGCAUAAUAUAAGCCUUUUCUUUUAUUUAAUUGCAUUUGUUUAAUAGCAAGAUUUUAGAGUUUUAUAUUUUCAAUUGUGUUAAUUAAAUAUUUUUAAUAUAAUAAAUCCGCUAUUUAAGAUUUUAUUUAAGAUUUUAAGCGUAACAAUGUGAAUGGAAUGUAUAAGUAUCUAAAUGUGUCAUUUUCAUUAAUGUUAUAAGUCAUUAUUACAUCAUGAGAUUAUUGUCAGGGUAAUUAAAAUCAUUAGAUUACUAGAUAUAGAGAAUUCAUUAAAAUAAAAUCUAAGAGAUUAAAAAUACUAUAAUUGUAAUACUUAAUAGAUCUAAAGUGUUAUUAUUAUUUUUAUUAUUUUUUUAUUACUAUAUAACUUAUAACAAUUUAUAUAAGAUAUGCAAAAGGUAGAAAUUUUUUUUUCAGGUUUAUGCUUGAUUAGAACUAUUGAUGACCAGUUGUCGGUCUUAUGUCAACAGGCUAUAGUUUUGCAAAGAGGUAAGUUUUAAAAUGUCUACACAUAUUUGGAUUAUAUAUAUGCUUUGGACUUUUUUAGGAGGUUAGGUUGAAAUAAUAAUCUUGGUAUAACAUUCCCAAAAUUCAUCACAUUUAUUUAUUAUUUUACUGAUAAAAAAUUUGCAAAAAAAAUAGAAUAAAAUGUUCCUUCUAUUAAUCUAAUGAAGUUAUUACCUGAGGUUCACCAAUCCAUUUUAAUGGUAUGGAAGAGAGACCAACUUCUUGUUCAUGUGAACUGGUGUGCCAGAAAUCACUGAGAAGGAGGUUGAACUCACCAUCAUAAUGAAAUGCUUCUUUUUGUCCCUUUGGCAAAUCUACUAUCAGUGAACCAUACAACCCUGCUGAUCUUUGCAUUCCAUGGUGUCCGUGAUAAAAAUAUGUUCCAGGCUGCACCAUAUAAAUUAACACCCAUAAAAUUAAUAUAAUAUUAUAUAAAAUAUCUCCAAAAUUAUUAGAAAUGAUGACACAUUUUUCAACCAAAACUUUUAUAGUAACAGAUUUGUAAGGUUUUUUAUAUAUAUAUUUUUAUUCAUUGACUCCAACCUAGACAGCUUUGAAACUUAUGGCCAGAUAUUCCUAACUUUCAUUUUCCUCCACCAACCAUAACUUUGGGCUGAAAAUUCAAAGGAUUAGGACAUACGAUAUCUAAGCAGUUGAAUGGAAAAAAUAAAAUACAUUCAGCACCUAGAUUAUCACCAUUCUUUUGAUGAUAUGAUAACCCAAUAAAUAAUCUGUCUUCAAAAACAGUCAGAGAUACUACUAUUAAAUACAGUGAAAAACUUUCUGGUUUACUCUUUUUCUAUAUAUGGUACUGUGUAUCCACACACCUUGCUUGGUUAUAAAACUUUUAAAAUGUUUAUCAGAAUUUGCAUCAUAUAAUUCCUUCUUUGACAGCUUAGUUCCUGAGUUUGUAUUUAUUGGUUUUCCCUUCUGUUACUCUCUAUCAAUGUACAAAUGGAUAAUAUAGAAGCAUGUGUUUUUCUUAGUUACAACAAGUAGAGAAAUGUAAUUACCCUCUCAACUAUAAACCUGUAGUGAAAAGUUUCUCCUGGAUUUAUAGCACACUGUGAGAUAGCAGCAGUUCCAUCUGCCCAAGGAGUUCCAACCUGCAUAACCAAAAUCUAGAAUUAAUAAGGCAGUUUUGUUGAGAACUAGGCAUAGUUAAAGGCCAUAAGUUUGAGAUUUGUUGAGAUUAUGAUGCAUAAAAGAGAGUAAAAAAGAAAAGAAAAGAAAAGAACCUGUCUGAUUCCAUGCCAGUGAAUAACAGUUCCCUCAGUGAAAAGCUUGUUGGUGAGAGCAAUGUGAAGAGUGUCACCAACUUCAGCCCUAAUAGUUGGCCCUGGAAACUGCCCAUUGAUUCCCAUCACAACGUGUUCCAAACAAUCUGGCUUUCUCAUCAUGUACUCCACAUCAAACCUGUAGUGCCUCACCCUUCCUCCAACUGAAUAUUGUAUCAGCCCCAACCAUAUGCACCAAACCAAAACUGCUUUCAACCCCAUUAUUCUCCACGCAAACACAAAACCUUACCAAUACCACCGAGGUCUCAGCUACCAGAAGAACCUAUUGGUGAAGAAAAAGGAACUGAAAGAUAUAGAAUUAUCAAUAAAAGAACAUUCAGAGGAUUGAGAUUGUGUCUGAAUGGUGAUACCGUAGGAUGGGUAGCCAUAUACAUAUAUAUAUAGUGAGACAGGGAAGGUGCUUUGAAAUUUCACCUCAUGCUGUUGAGUUGUUUUGGUGGCUAUAUUAAUCUUGCAAAUUACGUGUGUAACUUUUUUGAAUGUAUCAACUGUCAACUGGUUCUGCGUAUAUUCCUUUUAUUUUAAUGAAAGAAUUAGGUAUGGAUUUUUAUAUAAAAAUAUGUUUGAAGCAUAGUAUAUACAUAUAUACAUACUGGUCAACUUUAGGAUGACAAAGUAAUAAUACAAGGAAGUCGUUGAUAAAUAUUUAUGACUUAUAUUUUGAAAAAUUUCUCCCUACAUUUUUAAGACAAAAAAUAAGAAGAAAAUUAAUUACAAACCCUACAUUUUUAUGUUCACUAACUAAAUUCAAAUUAUGAAACAAUUUUUUUAAGAAAAUACUUGUAUUACAUAUACUGGUCUCAUUUUGUUCUCUUCCAGAAACUUUUAUAGAGAAAAUCAUUCAAACAGAUAAUAAUUGCAUGAUAAGUUUGUUGAUUUGUUUUAGGUAAAUAUUUUAAAACUUAUAUUUUGAUUGGUUGUAUUUUAUUCUAACUUAAAGUUAAAAGUAUUUUAUUCUAAAUUUACGGCAAACUAAACACCUGGAAACAUUUUUUAUAUAUUCUUGUAAGGUUUUUACUCGUAAUGGUAAUAUAUUCAUAUUCUUUUAUAAACUUACCCCACAAUAAUAACCUUCAACUUGCAAAAAACAUGAAUUUAAUUUUAUCUCUUUAGAAAAAGUUACUUUUUCAUUAGUUGAUAGUAAAAGAGACUGGCUAAAAUUUACAAUCAAAUGCUCAACAGAUCAGAAUAUUCUGUAUUUAGAUCUGACAAUACGAAUAGUCCAAAUCCUCUUCUGAUCUUUCUCAUUCUUUGUAUAGCGUUAAAGAGAUAUGUAAAUAAUUGAAGGAAGAACUUUGGGUCUUCUUACAAGCCGAAUUCUUUUUUUUUUAUCAACAAUAAUCAAUAAAUAAAUAUGGAAUACUUUAGGGUGAACCAACCUUUAUACAACUUACCAAAAAUAGUUAGCUAUCAGAAAAUCAAUUAAAGAACUCUAAACCCUACCAAACUACUCUACUAAGAUUCCCUAAAACCAUAAACCAACAAGCUAAAACUAAAACUAAAUCGAGUGUAGGCAAACCAAAGGUUCAAAACACCAAUCAGAAUAAGAAAAACAAGCAGAUGGAAUUUUAGAAGAGAUUCAAUCUCAAACCUUCAAUUGAGCCAAAGAAAAAGCCUCUGAAUGAUCCGCUACUCCACCUUUAAAGACGACCUUGUUCCUAACAUGCCAGAUUUCACUAACUACCUCAAUCCAGACAUUCCCCAAGACUAAAUUGACAUAAUUAGGUGCAUUACUUAGGUUAAACUGUAGAAAAUGGAAUGAGGAUUAAAAGAAUCAACCAACUUCAACCCUAACUACACGUAACAGAGACUCCACACUAACCAAGCGAAACGACAACCGAAAAAAAGAUGAAGAAAAUUCUCCUCCUUUUACCCGCACAACCUACACGUGAUAUCUUCAAUCACAAUCCCAUGUCUGGCCAAAUUUACUUUGGUUGCGAUCUUGUUUUACAAUACCCUCCAAGCAACAAGAUGAGCCGAAAGAAAAGCUUUAAUCCUCCAAAAAUCCUUAAAGAAAUGUCGAUGCUCCCCUUCAGAAUCUCCUUUUAGGAAAACGUAGGCCGGCUUAAUCGAAAACUCAAAAUUUGCAACUUCUUUCCAGGUCCACUUAUCAACUUUAUCCAAAUCAAGCACAAAGUCUUGUACCACUUCCAAAAAGCUAAUCGACCUGCUUCUUCUCCUAGACAAAAGGACUCAUUCUCCAAACCAAAUUCCACUCACACCCAUUGUUAACCCGAGUCCUACAACAAUCCAACGAAACUUCUUUAGAAACACUAAGGGAUAAAAGCCUUGGAAAUUUACUCUUUAAGGCUUCAUUACCCACCCAUAUGUCCUCUCAGAACUUAAUAGACUGUCCAUUUCCAACUUCCCAAACAAAACGGUCUUCAAAACUCCUGCCCCAGUCCUCCAACUUCCAAAUCGCCUUCAAAUCUCUCCACCAGAGGGAACCUUUGUUGUUUGAUCCACCCUUUUUCAAGCUUCUCCAACCUCCAUAUUUAAACUCUAAAACCUCCUUUCACAAACCACCCUUAUUAGAACCCAACCGCCAAAUCCAUUUUCUUAACAAAGACAAAUUAAAAAGUUUGAUGUUAAUAAUACCAAGCCCACACUAGUGUUUUCUUCCUUUGUCUGCCUUUGGACUAUUGCUUAUUCGAUUAUUUGGUCUUUCGGUUUUUUUAUUUUUUGGUUUUGGCUCUUAAGUUUUAGGACAUAAUGUAUGGUGAUUAGAUUUAGAUUAAAUUAGAUUUUAGAUUAGAUUUUAAAUUAUUGUAUUGAUUGGAACCAUAUGAAGUUUAGAAGUUGUGGUACUCAGUUCUGGCCGAUCGACAUGCUCAAAAUGCAUUAAUAUCAGAAGAAGUUUAACGAGUUUAAGUAGUACGUAAAUACUAGGUAAUGCGUUCUUAAUCAUGAUCCAAACCCUAACCCGGAUGAAUAAUAAUGGGUCAUGAUAAACAUAUAAAUAGUCACAACUUUCGAGAAAAAUGUACGUCAUUAUCACACAUUAAUUACACCGAUUACUUACUUGAGUGCAAAGCACCUUUUGUAGGUGCCCUCUUGACCGAGAGCCCAUGAAGAAAAGGAGAGCUUGACUGAAGUAAAAGAGUGAGAGCAGAGGAAGAAAAAGUGAAGCAAUUUGACUCGUUCAGUAUAAUGAGAAAGACUCAUCGACCGACCGAAGCACAUAUCAGUACGUAGAAGUUCUCUGUGUCCCUUUUUAUACAAGAACAAUUACCUUUAGCUUUGGGGUGCUUCCCUAUUUAUACCUAACUUGGACCUUUGAUGGUGUGGAUGUACAUGUUGGACCCAAAAGGAGCUCAAUCGCGUUCUAAUAAUGUUUUUGUGGAUAAUUUGGUGUUUUACUGACUAAUGGCUUUUUAAGGUCUCUCGCGGGUCUCGUGUGAAAAGUGUCGAUAUGGUGUCGUCAAGGUGCUAACGACUAGACAAACUGGUGGUACAUUGGGUGAGGAAACAAAUUAAUUUGACAAAAAAGAGAGUAAAUAUAAGUUGGGUUGGGUUAAAAGAAAGAUAGUGGAAAGUAAAAAAAUUAAAGAAAAAAAAUUAUAAAGUGUGUGAGUAAUAUGAUGAAUGUGAACAGCAAAGUCAAAAGAGUUAGAUCACGCUGGCUGAGUCAUGUGGCAAACGAGAAACAUUUUUUUUUAUCAGCGACUAAUAAAUUAAAUUAAAUGAAGCAUUUCAGGGAUGCUCCAACCACUAUAAGAAAAUCUAGAAUUACAUACCAAUUAUUAAAUACGGAAAAAAUAAGUAUGUAAAGUGAACAAUACAUACGGAUUCUAAUCCGUAUGUAAGAUAUUUAAAAUUUAAUUCAAAAAAAAAAUUAUUUGUAUGUAAUUUAUUUCAAAUUUAAUUAAAAAAUAAUAAAAAGUGUUACAUACGAAUUAUAUCCGUAUAUAAUGUAUUAAAAAUUUAAUUAAAAAAAUGUUACAUAUGAAUUAAAUUCGUAUGUAACUUAUUUCAAAUUUAAUUAAAAAAUAACUAAAGAUGUUACAAGCAAAUUAUAUCCAUAUAUAAUUUAUUAAAAAUUUAAUUAAAAAAAAUUGUUACGUAUGGAUUAUAUCUAUAUGUAACUUAUUAAAAAAUAACAAAUAAUAUUAUUAAUACUAUUAAUAUUAUUAAUAGUAUUAAUAGUAAUUAAGACAAGUAUCGAAUACAAAGCAUCCACAAAACAUUAGUCCUAGCAGUAAACGUAGCACAAACCAAGUCAAAAUCACAUUCAAGUCAGACAUUAUAGUAAGUCCCAUCUUUUGAGCUUCCUCGAUAGCAGUCUGAACUUCAAGAAACGCAGAGAAAGCACAAAUAAAUUCCCCCAUUCCCAUGAAAAAUACCUCCACAAGUAGUAAGAUCAGGACACCCCAUAACAGCACCAUCGGUGUUAAUUUUAACCUAUCAAGGUGAAGGGAACUCCCAUCUAAUAGGAAGAGGACGAAGAAAUUUACCCGUACGAGUAUUAAUACCAAAACACUUAAUUAUGUUGAAAACUAACAUAUCAUUCUUCAUUGAAGCUUUAGAAGAAUUUCCCACUAGACAAGUUAAAUCUUUAAUUACCGACAUAGCCCUAAAAACCUCAAUCUUAUCCUGAAAUCUAGCAUAAUUCCUCAUACGCCAUAUCAUCCAAAUAGAAAAGGUUAUCACAAUAAACUUAAUCAAUUUAACCAAAGGACUACCAUCACUCUUAAUAAAAGAAAGAAGAUAAUCAUUAUUAGACAAAUGAGAAGUAAGAAAAAUCUGUCGAACCUAACUUAUGUAAAGCAUUAGAACAUUCAAAAAAUAAAUUCUAAAUAGAUUCCUCAAGCUUUUCACGAAUCAUACACAUAGAAAAAAAUAUGCCAACCUUUAUUUUGAAUAUGUUGAUCUGUAGGAAGCCGCCCAUGAAAAACUUUCUAGAGUACUAGAGUUUUGGAAGGCGGAAUAGAUGAAAACCAAAUUAAUUUUGCCCAACCACAGGGAACUCCAGGUAACAAGAAAAAAGUCCUAGCUGAUUUAAGAGUGGAACGACCAAACUCAUCUAGAAUCCAAUUAGGAAUAUUAUGUUCCUCCCUAACCAUCAUAUGAUUAAAAAAAUAAGGCAUAUGCUCUAAAGAUAAGGGAAUAUUGCAAUCACAACCUGUCCAAAACUAAGAGACUGUAUGCGAAAUGCUAGCACCAUUAGAUAACCCUAUAAUAUUUGCUAAAGAAGUAGUAAAACACCAUUUAUCAUUCCAAAAAUUAAUAAAAAAAACAUGUACCAACAGUUUAGGAAAUAUAAUCAAGUAUAGUAGAAUAAAACUACUUAAUUCCAAGCCAAAGAGAUGAGGAUCUAUAAACCAUUUUAAACUCGUAUUUUGAUUUAAGAACCAUGGCUUUCAAGAGCAAAGACCAAGGUGUAGAACAUGGAAGCUUUGAUGAUCCAAAUCUGUGUUGAAGGGUUGUUGCUUUGCUGCUUUUGGUUGAAGAUUAGUUCUAGGGUGUUUAGAAUUCUAGUAAAGAUCAUUCUUAGUCCUUUGCACAAGGUUGAUCAAUUUUUUUUAAAAGAGAAAAAUGUUUUUCUAAGCAAAGAGAAAAACAACCGGUUAAAAUCACGAUAUAAUCGGUUGUUUUACACUUAGCUUGAUUGAAGGUUUUCAAAAUUGUUUUUGACUUGGUUGACUAACUGUCAUAACCAAUUCAACCGGUUAAAAUGACAUUUCAACCGGUUGAUUGUCACAUUUCCUAACAACUUUUCAAAAACUUGUUAAAUCUAUUUUCAGUUGAAUUAAAACUCUUUUGGCUCAUGAUUCACUGCGUAGAACAACUAGUUUUAAGAGCUAUAAAUAUGGUUUCUCUUUGUAAUAAAAAAUAUACAUAAAGUGAGAUUGAAAUUGUUUUUGAGAAGAGAUUCAAAUCAAAGUUUUGCAAGAUUUCUAAGUAGUUGUGCAUUGGUUCAAGAUCUGAUCUUAGGAACUUUGUGAUUCCUGAAUUACCAAGUGUAAUUUGUUCCUUUCUGAUUCUUGUAAUUGUUCUUUUCUAAACUUGUAAAACGUGUGUAAACCUGUAAGGUCAAAGGGUGUUCUGACUAAGGUUGUGUGAAAGGAAAAGAGGGUGAGUGCUCUUCUGGUUUCAAGAUCACCUCUUUGUGCCUUUGAGUGUGUGUAAUAUGUGAUUGAUUGCUAGUGGAAACCCAAUGGUUGUUCUGGGACUAGAUGUAGCUCAGGAUUGAGUGAACCAGUAUAAGUUGGUUGUGUAAUCUUUCUCUCUCUCACUCCUUAUAAACUGUUUGAUUUGAUUUUGUUAUUUCUGCUGCCAUAAACAACCGGUUAAAACGAAGUUUCAACCGAUUGAUUUUCUGCAAACAGUUUCAAUUACCUUGUUUGAUUGACUUCCUUGAUUACUUCUUCUGCAAACAAAUGUUUCCUAAAUAUCAAUUUCUCGCAUAUUUAUAAAAACAACUUAUAAUCACACUCGGACAUUAAUGGGAAUUAACAUUUCAAGUCUAUGUCUAGCCUUCAAAGAUGUUAAGUAUUGUUGUUUAGGUUAAAACCUUAAAAAUACCUUUUAGUCAGAUUUAAGAUUCUCAAUUGUCACGGAAAAUUAAAAGUAAAACAACAAUACCAAUAAUCAAUCAAGAACUGAAUAUUUUAAUAUAAGAUAUCACCUCAAUACAUAAGAACUCGAGCAGAUUACUUCCAAUCCCAAAAGGUAGAAUUAGCCAUGCAUACUUCUAGCACUUUCCAUUCUCCCAAUUUGGUUACAAUUCACUCUAUGGUGUUUUCUUCUCAAUCUUGCACAUUAGGGUUGAGCCUCUAGCCCCCUAUUUAUCCUAGUUUUCUAGGGUUAGGUCACUUCUUGUAUCACGCUAAUGGGCUAAGUGAUAAAACAUAAAAAGAUCCAAUCUUUCUCUACAUCUUUUUCUAUUAUGGGACCUUCCAACUUUCUCUUUUUAGCUCAAAUUAUUCUCCUUUACUCCAAAUCUUCAAUUCUCCCUAAAAAUCUGCAACUAGCACUAAAUUUGGGAAUAAAAUGCUCUUAUUCAAAUAAAACUCAUAAAAAAAUGUAUAAAUGUAUAAAUUCAUAAAUUAGGGAUUAUUUUAUCUGUAAAUUAGCAAUAAAUCCUCAUAAGUACCUAUUUUUUAAUAUGAAAUAUUAAUGAAAUUAGACACUUAUCAGUUCAUAAUACCAUACUCUUAGAAUCUAGGUUUGGAUCUAACUCAAUCCCAUAAAAUUGAGUUUUAAGAUGCUUGGAACCGCUAGUUCAGUUUACUCUGAUCCAAAUGGAAUUGUAUGUGUAUAUAAUGAAGUUUUUUAUGCAAAAAUUCUUCAAUAUAAGGAUACAUGAUCUGGCAGAUAAAUAAUCGCUUUGUUACUAGAUAUGUCAGCAUUUAAGGCGGCAAAUCCAGAUGCUAUCUUUGAAGAUUUUAUUCGGUGGCAUUCACCUGGGGAUUGCGAAGAGUGUGAUUACCCUGAGCAAAGUAAAUCAUCAUCAUCCAGUUCUCUUGACAUUAAAAAGUCAAAAGAUAGUUGGCCUCCACAAGGGAAGCUUUCAAAGAGAAUGUCUAAACAUGGAAUUUUAUGGAGAAAGCUUUGGAAUAGUGCAACUACUCUUCCUGCUUCUGAACAAAAACCUCUUCUUGAUCAAGUGCUGGAAGCAAAACUGAUUAGGGAUGUGUGUUUUAAUUUUAAACUUGAUUAGGAUGUAUGAACUUUUGAACAAUUAUGUGUUUUAAUUUUCAAUUAUGUAUAAACUUUUAAACAAUAUUAUGUGUGCUUUACUUUUCAAUGAAAUAAAUGGAUGCUUAUAACUUUAAUACAUUAUUUCAUAUUAUUAGUAUAUUUUUUUUAUUAUGAAAAUAUAUUAUGUUUAGUUUAAUUGUGCAAACCAGAUUAUAAAAUAGAUUAUAAAAAAUGAGGGUUAAAUUUUAUUUAUUUAGAAUUAAAAUUAUGACAGUUAAAAACGACACAUUAUACCCUACAUAAUGACGCUGCAAUCUUUUUCAAUGAAUUAAAUUGCGACAGUUAUAACUGACACUAUUUACAUAUAAAAAACGCUACUUUAAACAUAGUGUUAAAGUGGCGGGUGUUGCGGAGGGUAGCGUGAAACCCCCACAUUAAACUUUGUGGCGGUCAGUUCUAUGGCAGUUUGAGAAACCGCCACACGCGUAUAUUGUUGCGGUUAUAAAUGCCAAUUUAUACAAAAAUAACCGCCACAAUAUACAUUAUUUUUUGUAGUGAUAUUUGUAUCUUAUAAGAAGACCAAAAGGAAGAACUUGAGAUGCUCUGGUCUUUGUCCAUUUCUUCCUCUGGUGAGUCUUCACUUGAAUAUUGAGAUGACCUUUCAUAGUGUGCAUCCUUGGUCAUCUUCUUGUUAUCUUGGUUUGCAUCAUUUGCUGCUUUUGGUUGGAGCUUAGUUCUAGGGUGUUUAGAAUUCUUGUAAAGAUCAUUCCUAGUCCUUUGCACAAGCUAGAUCAAUAUGUUUUAAAAGAGAAAAAUGUUUUUCUAAGCAAAGAAAAAAACAACCGAUUGAAAUCACGAUAUAAUCGGUUGUUUUACACUUAGCUUGAUUGAAGGUUUUCAAAACUGUUUUUAACUUGGUUGACUAACUGUCAUAACCAAUUCAACCGGUUAAAAAAAAAUUUCAACCGGUUAAAACAAAAUUUCAACCGGUUGAUUGUCACAUUUCCUAACAGCUUUCCAAAAACCUGUUAAAUUUGUUUUCAUUUGAAUUAAAACUGUUUUGGCUCAUGAUUGACUGCUUAGAAUUGCUAGUUUUAAGAGCUAUAAAUAUGAUUUCUCUUUUUAUUAAAAAAAAUAUAGAAAGUGAGAUUGAAAUUGUUUUUGAGAAGAGAUUCAAAUCAAAGUUUUGGAAGAUUGCUAAGUAGUUGUCCAUUGGUUCAAGAUCUGAUCUUAGGAGCUCUGUGAUUCCUGAAUUACCAAGUGUAAUUUGUUCCUUUCUGAUUCUUGUAAUUGUUCUUUUCUAAAAUUGUAAAAGGUGUGUAAACCUGUAAGAUCAAAGGGUUUUGUGAGUAAGGUUGUGUGAAAGGCAAAGAGGGUGAGUGCUCUAGUGGUUUCAAGAUCACCUCUUUUUGGCUUUGAGUGUGUGUAAUAUGUGAUUGAUUGCCAGUGGAAACCCAGUGGUAGCUCAGGGUUGAGUAAACUAGUAUAAGUUGAUCAUGUUUUUUUUUGGUCAGCAAAGAAUAAAAUAGAAUAAAAGGGGUACUUCAGGGGUACCCCAACCCAUAUACAAAAACCAAGUAGUUCAAGAUAAGGGUAAAUAUACAUUCUAGUGAUGUAGCAGAACAAACAGAUCCUAGCUUUACUUUCCUAUAUACUUCAGAUGACCCCACAUUACCUAUUUAACCACAUCUUCAGAGAAACCCAAAUCUUGACCACCUAGCCUCUUUUGUUACGUGUCUUCAUAUGCUACCUGCAGCACAAGUUUCUUGUAUGUCCCUUAAUAUGGAUAAAUCUGGACGGCCAAUGAGCAUUGUCUAUCACAGAUCAGCUUCUUCACGCUCCCAUCUACACCUCCAUCUACACCUCCACACGGCUUGUCACCCCAACUACUGCAACAGAGUUCCUGGAAUCCACCUCGCACCAAAACAACCUUGCUGCAGCACCUUGAGCCAGCUCCUACUUUGAACCAGUGGCACCUGAUUUCCUAUCCUCACGUCCACCGGAAAAACUGCAAGCAAAAAUUACUCCAACCAGAAUUACCAAUUCCUUUACUGCAGCAACACAAGAAUAACUCAUAAUCCACCCUGCUUCCCCCUACUUCUCUUUAAACCUGAACCCUGUAACUUUUGACAUCCUUUCCACCGCACCUGCCAACCAUUCAGCUAACACACUACCUUCGUAUCAGCAGCUUUGCAGACAAAUGCUUGGAUUAAGAAUCCAAUCUGAGUAGGAAAAGGUAAACGAACCCGCACCAAGCUUCAAGUAUAACCACGUGGCCAAUUGAGCUGAAUGGAAUACUUCUUCAGCAUCCGGUAUCCCUUGUUUGAACACAAUUAAAUUUCUCUGAUCCCAUAUGCUUCUAAUGAUUGCUACCCAGAGCCCCUUCCAGACUUGAUUCUGCUUAUUAUUUAAGUGAAUUAAAUGGAAACUCUCAAAAUGAAUUAAGAGAUCCUUAUGCUGAACAGACACAAUACCCAUCCACCUUAGACAAAGACCCCAUAUCCGUUGUGCAACCAGACACGUCAUAAAAAUAUGUUGAGCUGAUUCAUCAGCUACCCUACAAAAAACACAUAGAGGGGAAUUGACAACUAUAGCUCUCCUUAUGAGAUUAUCAUACGUUGGUAACCUCCCAAUUAGAGCCCUCCAUGUCGUACAUAAAUCUUUGGGUACCGCUUUGACUUGCCACAACAACGAAAAAACAUUAUGCAAGCUGCCAUUGGAAUAAUUACACAAAGUAAGGUAUGCAAAUUUGACAGAGAAAACACCUUUGGGAUCCCCACUCCAUUCAAUAGUAUCCUCGGAAUCUUUGUUCAAAGUCUUCCUUGUAAUGAGGUUCAUCAUUUCUUCCUCUACAGAAUUUUCCCACUCAAAUCUAGCCCUUCUCCACCCUAACCUCCAAGACCAGCCUAACUCGCCCCACGAGCCUACCUCUCCCACCAAUUUUCCUUGCUCUAAGGAUAUGGUGUACAAUCUAGGAAACAAAGCUUUAAACUUAUUAUUGUCCAACCAUGUAUCUUCCCAAAACAUGAUUUUAUCCCCCUUUCCCACUUUCCAUGAGACAUGGUUACGGAACCAACCCUCACCUUCUCCUUCUUCACAAACCUUACGAAGAUCACUCCACCACCAUGAAUGAUUCUUACCACAGCCUUGAGAACUUGUCGUACCAUUACCGUACUUAGAUACCAAGAUCUCUUUCCAUUUCCCUUUUUCUUCACUCAUCAUCCUCCACUUCCAUUUUGCUAACAAAGCCCGAUUGAAAUUUUGUAUAUCCUUAACCCCCAACCCCCCUUCCUUCUUUGAUUUGCAUACAUUUUCCCACCGAACCCAGGCUAUAUAUUUACUAUCAUUGCCCCACGCCCAAAGAAACCUCCUUUGAAUACUAGAAAUCUUAUCACAGACUGACUUUGGUGCUUUAUAAAAAGAUAGAUAAAACAGGGGUAUAGAAGUUAAAACCGACUUAAUCAAACAUAACCUACUGGCAAACGAUAGACAUUUCCCUUUCCACGCACUAAGUCUGGCUUUAACUUUUGAUGUGAAUGUAACUACAAGAACACAUGAUUCUUGACAUUCUUAGGAGCAACUUGAGCUGGAUUUGCAAGACACUUUACUUUAGAAUUGGAUCAAUGUUCUAAUUCAAGAACUCACCAAAACUUAGCACCAACCAAGACUCAUAUGGAAGUCCAUGUAUUGUCAAAUGGAAUCAAAACACAAGGAAUGAAGAACAAUAAUUAAAAACUGGACAGAAUUGAAAAGCUAGCUACUGAACCGAAAAAAAACAAAGAACAAAGCUGGAAAAGUAAAUGUAAACGGUAGAAAAUGAAGGAAAACACUAGGAAUUAAAACUACCGAAUGGAAAAAUUGAAGAAAAGGAAGAAGAACACUUAUAGGAAGAUGCUUGCUGGAUUUUGAGAAUUGGAAGAAGCCAUUCACGCCACUUGGAACCUUGAACCAAGAUAAGUGAUGGAGUGCCACCACUUGAAGCUCACCAUAGCUCACAAGAUAAGGCAAAGAAGAAGAAGACUCAAAACUCACAAAUUCUCUCCAAAUUUGAGUAUAGUCUCUCUACUAUAAAAUUCCAAUCUCAAAAAAUACAAAGAGGAGCACCUUAUUUAUAGCCUAUGAGGUGCUGAAAAUGCAAGCUAAAUGGCCCACAAAUGCAAUGAAAUUCGGCGCCAAUCUAGACAAUGAAGGAAGUGUGACUUUCCUUCCUAGUUUGGGAACAACAAAGGUCCUAUCUACACUCCCCCCUAGACUCCCUUACUACUUACACCUUUUUUAUUACAUCCACACCCCUAUUCUACAAAAGAAAUAAGAAGAGCCAUUUUAUUAUACUCUUGUCCCAAAGCUCUUGCCAUGCUCCUAGUAAUUCGUUGGGCUUGGACCCCUUGAUGGGCUUGGGCCCCUUGUUGGGCUUGGGCUUCAUGGGUUUGAGCAUCCUCUACUUGGUUUCCAUCAACUUUCUCCACCACCGGUUCCCAAAACUGCAACCUCCUUGGAUUACCACCAACCUGUAUUCCCAGAUAGAUAAAAGGUAUUUGCAUGAUAUCGCAAUUGAGGGUUUUCGCAUAUAGCUCAAGAUUGCUUCGAUCUACCUUUAACCCUGCUAUCUUUGAUUUAUGAAAGUUAACUUUGAGCCAGAAGCAAGCUCAAAAACCCUGAGAAUCGCCUUAAUUGUAAAGACAUUGGAAAAGGAGUCUUCACACAUGAACAGGGUAUCAUCUGCAAAUUGUAGCAAGCAGCAGUCCACCUGAGCUCUUCCCACCUUGAUACCUCUUAACAGAUCCUCCUUUACAGCUUUGCGAACUAGACACGCCAGCCCUUCUACUACAAUAAGAAAAAGAAACGACGCCAGAGGAUCUCCUUGCCUCAAUCCCCUUGUAGGUCUGAACUCCUCUGUUGAGCUACCAUUGACCAGGACUAACACCGUAGCCGUCUCCAGACAUCCUUUCACCCACUUUAUCCACUUCUAUGAAACCCCAUUCUUUGUAGCAUGUCCAACAAAAAAGUCCACCUAACCGAGUCAUAGGCCUUUUCAAAAUCUACCUUCAGGCACACCCCACUCUUCCGAUUUCUUCGAACCUCUUCAAUCACCUCAUUAGCCAUCAUGACACUGUCUAGCAUACCCCUAUCUUCCAAGAAAGCUGACUGAACAUCAUCUAUAACCAGAUGCAAGACUUUCUUUAUACGACACGACAACACCUUAGUGAUUAUCUUGUAAAGAGCUCCCACUAAAGAUAUAGGUCUGAAGUGCUCAACCAAGACGGGAUUCUUCAUUUUAGGGAUAAGAGCAAUAAAUGACGCAUUACAGCCCUUUGAGAAGCUCCCAGAAUCUUGAAACAAGUACACAGCUUCCAAGAUAUCCUCCUUUAGAAUCUCCCAAUUACUCUUGAUGAAAUUAUAAUUAUAGCCAUCUGGGUCAGGACUUUUCGAACCCUCACACAACCACAUUGCAGUCCUGACCUCCUCCUCGGAGAAAUCCUCUACCAUUUUCAGACUAAUGGCCUCUGGAAGAGUCUUGAAGUCCACAAGACCAAGCCUAACACCAUAAUCAGGUGUGGCCUUGAACCUCUGUUCAAACACACGUUUCGCUUCUCUACGCACCGCUUCCGGUUCUUCGCACCACUGAUUAUCUAUUUCAACACCUUUAAUUUCAUUCCUAAGCUUCUUCCACCUAAUAAUAGAGUGAUAAUACUUGGAAUUUAAAUCCCCAUGCUUAAACCAAGUAGAUCUAGCUUUCUGCCUAUUUAUAGAUUCCAUCUUUUUAUCUAAGACCUUCUGUUGACUUAGUAACUCCAAUCUCCUCAAUUUUUCCCCUUCCAGUAAAUCACAUUCAGCAUCCUUGACAUCGAGGUUCUCAAUUUCCAUCAUGAUUUUGCGCUUGCACUCCUCAAUAUUUCCGAAAACACUCAUGUUCCACUCCUUGAUGUCGGUUUUCAGCAACUUCAAUUUAUCUUUGAGCGUUGACAUUUUGUUUCCCUGUACCUCAUAAGUAUUCCACUUACCUUUCACCAAGUCCUUAAAACUAGGUUCCAAAAGCCAAGCGUCAAUAGAUUUGAACGGUUUAGGACCCCAAUCUUUAGCCCACGAUUUGGCCACUAUGGCGUAGUGAUCGGAGACUUCCCUCUCCAGUACAUAUUGCUUACUUGUAGGCCACCUUUGUAACCAUUCCAAUGAUACUAAAAAUCUGUCUAAUCUGCUUUUGGCAGACCCAUCUGCCUUGUACCAGGUGAACUUUUUGCCUACAAGAGGUAACUCCACCAACACAUUCCUAUCAAUGAACUCAUUUAAGUCUUUAAUCUCCUUCUUCUGGCUGGACAACCCUCUAACACCUUUCCUUUCCUCCAUAAUCCUAACCGCAUUAAAAUCCCCGCAACAACACUACACCUCAUUCUGACUAGAACUUUUAAUGGUUGACAGAGCAUCCCACAUGACAGCUUUAUCACUAUUCGAGCAAGCAGCAUACACAUUCACAAUAACACAUAAGCAAUUCAUUUUAACAUAAAUCCCAGAUACAGCUAUAAAACCUCUUCCUUUAACAUGAGACCUAUACUCAAACACUUCUUUAUUCCACAUAGAAAGAAUACCUCCUGCCCCAUUUUCUCCUUCAUUAAGUACCCAACCAAUGUUAUUAUCCCCCCAUAAAGCAAAGCAUUUAGAAUCAGAGAAAUUCAUAACUUUUGUCUCCUGUAAACACACAAACUCGGCACUCUCCUUGUAAAUAAUAUGCUUAAGAUAUUUAUCUUUUACCCCUCCUCCUAGCCCUCUGAUGUUUAAAUUGAUAACAAUCAUAGACAACCUGAUUUCGUGCCCUUCUUCAUCUUACUCAAAACUUGUCUAUCCCUAUCCUCCAUCACCUCCACUUCUUGUAGCAUCAUAUCAUCUCCCCAUGGGCAUGUCGUACCUAACCUUUUGGCUAAACCCCAUAAUCUAACUGAUUCGGAUUCAACAACUUCUUUCCUAAUUCGGUUAUUACAUUCAACAAUUUCAGAAUCAGACAAUGCAUAGGAUAAUGAACGUGACCUGGUUGGGUAUCUGUUCCCGGAAUGUAACGAUCCCGUGCCCCCUUUUGAACGACACCGUCGCUGGAUUGUUCGACCCCCUUGCUCCCAUAGCGCACGUAGGUGACGGACCCUAUCUGGGGUUUGACGAUCGUCCACCUCUAUAUGUUCCUCCUCGCCAUUAUGAACGCCGCCCGUCUUCUUCCCCAAAUCUCCCUGGUACCCUUCACUGAUCGAAUUCUUCCGGCAGCUACUCGAUUUAGAAAGAGAAUUCUUUACUCGAUUUGAUGAACAAGCACCCCCUUUACUAACAUUUAAGGACAAAUGUUUUAAUGGAUGCUCCACCUACGGGCUCUCUGACGUCGCUGGUUGUCCUCCGUCAACACUCGUUGCACAAACGCCUUCAAAAGAUUUUCCUGAAAGUGAUACACGCCCAGCGUAGGUGUCCACAUGGGCCUUAGUUCCAAUAACCUGUAAGUGGGCCUCAGAUAGCAUUGGGCUUUCAUUAAAAGAGUCAAACGACUCCACCUCUUUUACUAAGUCUACCAAGGGGCUUUGUAUAGCCCCACACGCCACAUUGACAUGCUGAAGAGCAGACGCUGCUGUCCCUUCCUCUGCCCCCCCUCCCCCCCGCAGACUCACCUCUUUUUUUGUGAAGGAAAAAUCAGACUUUCCUUGACCUGACACAAGAUCUUCUGCACCUUCCUUUUCUAGAUCCAUUUUUGUCUUAUUCAUAGACCACCCCUUCUCUUCCCUUCUGUUUUCCUCCGGCCACCCUCUGCUACCUUCUCCAUCCCCUCCCCUUUCACUACUCAGUUUUGCAUAACAGAGAGAAUCUUCCACAAAAGUUUCAAAGGAUGAAACACUACCCGAUGACCCUCCAAGACUAAGAUCACAGUUGCAUCUGGACUUAACUCCAUCAUAAUAGUUCGCUUCCUCCACCAAUGUAAUAUUAUACAAACAUCCAUUAAUCCGAAAACCUUUGGACAACUCUACCUUACUCGAUUUCAACAUUCUUACUUGAAACCGCGCAUACUCCAAUCUAUUCCAUGAUAAAGAGGCUUCAUCCACCUCCACCAGCGUUGCUACAUCCUCUACCAUUUUUUAGAAACACUCCUUGUUCCAUAAGUGAAUCGGGAACCCAUAGCAUUUAACCCACACCCGUUUGUAGCUGACCACAAGAGAUUCUGACCAAGGCUUGAUGUCUUCAAAAAAAAAGUCGAACCAUUCUUUACUAGAUUUCACAAUGUCCUCUAUUUUCUCGAUAGACUUAGAAGUCAGUAAGACAAGAUUAUCUCCCAAAAAGCGAAUUAUGAUCAUGCUCAUCCCUCCCUUAAUACAUUCUUCCUGCAAAGUCUCAUGUUCCCACUCUGCCUUCAUACGACCAACCAUGCUGUUCUUCAUCCACGGCAAGAUGUUCGCCUUAGUCGUAAAAGAAGGCCCUUUCCAAUGGGCACGAAGUGGGCUUCUUACUAUAUCAGCAUAGGUUUGCUUACAUAAAACAUAACCAUUAGCAUCCUUUCCUACUCCACUCCUGAUAACUUCUUUCCCUCUUUUUACCAUCCACACCUCCUUGUUCUUCCUCUGAUAGUUUCGAGAGGGAAACCCACCACUUCUACUCUUCUCCUCCAAGCAAGGAGCAUUUCCCGUAUUCACAAACCUUUCCCUCCUGUACCUUGGUACAUUAACAUGAAGUUUCAUGUUUCCGAUGAAGCAGUUGUCUAGCUCCCUCUCCAGGCUUGGAACAUUUCCCACCUCAAAAAACCUUAUAAAGCCAAACCUUCUACCCCAUCUAUUCAAACGUUUAGAAAUGAACACUUCUUUGACCCUGGCCCAUUUCUGAAACAGUCUGAACAUUUCAAAUUCACCAUGAUUUUCUGGAAAGUUUGAAAAGAAGAAGGUUGUACAAGGCUUUGUCGACUGUUGAUGAUGAUGCUCCGCCUGCCUUCUCCGAUUUUCCUGUUCCUCCUUCGCCCCACUCCACUCAGCCAUCGCCCUCAUCUCUUCCUCCAAUUUCCUUAGAUGCUAUAUAUGCAAACAAAACUCCAAAUGGUUGUAUAAGUUGAUCAUGUAAUCUUUCUCUCUCUCACUCCUUAUAAACUGUUUGAUUUGAUUUUGUUAUUUCUGCUACCAUAAACAACAGGUUAAAACGAAGUUUUUCAACCGAUUGAUUUUCUGCAAACAAUUUCAAUUACCUUGUUUGAUUGGCUUCCUUGAUUACUUCUUCUAUGAUUGUUGUUAAAACUUCAUUUGUAUCCAAUCAUUGUGAAAAUAUUUUGACAAACAAUUCACCUUCCUCUUUUUUAGGCCAUAAAUUCUAACACAAGGUAUGUUGCUAUAAGCAAUGUUCAAAGCAAGUUGAAGAAGAUAUGCAUUAUUUUCAUGACGAAGAUUAAUAAUCUUCAAAUCUCCAUUCUCAAGACGAGAUCAUAUCGUAUCCCAAUUCACGGUGACUAUGCCUUUUUUCAAAAUAUCACUAGUUCAAAUAAAAUUUUGACACCACUGCUCAACUUGGUUAAGAAGUGAAAUAAGUCAUUUAUACAUAUUAAAGUUAUAAGCUAGAAAUCUAGUAAUCACCACAUUGACCAAUUGAACCUGACCCAUCAUGUUAAGAGAUUUACCUUUCCAAGAUGCUAGCUUCAAUUCGACUUUAUCAGCCAAAGGUUGAAGAAAUCGCCACUUUGGAGCACCAACAAAGAUAGACACUCCUAAAUAAUUGAAAGGAAAACAACUGUGACUACAAGAAAGAAUACGCUAAAUUUUGGUGAUAAAUCUUGCAGAAUUAUCCAUGGUGAAAAACUACUUUUAGAGUUAUUAACUUAUUGACAAGAAAAAUCACCACAUGUUUUAAGAAAAAUACUCAAAUUUCUAAGAGACUUAAUAUCCCCCCUACAAAAAACAAAUAUGUCAUCAACAUAUAAAAUAUGAGAGGGAGUGAGAUAACCUUGAGAACUAGCCAUAUGUAAAAUUUUAUUAUCAUUCACAAGCUUAGAGAUACCUCUACUGAAAACUUCCUCUGCAAGACAGAAAAGUAAAGGACAAAGGAUCACCUUGAUUGACACCUCUACUACAAGGAAAAAAAACUCACCAAACUGCCAUUUAUUCUGAUAGAAAGCAUAAUUGGUCGGAGAAUUGUACUAAUCCAACCGACAAAUGAAGGGUGUCAAAACUAAUAAUAAGAACUUCCAACUCAGAGUGUCAAAGGCUUUAAGAAUAUCAACUUUCUAAGCCACAUUACCUCAUCUAACAUUUUUACAAAGCAUGUCAAUAGCUUCACAAGCAAUACCAAUGCAAUCCUGAAUUUGUAUACCUUGCACAAACCCAUAUUGAUUAGGAUAAAUGAUUCUAGCAGCCACAAGUGCAAGCUUGUCCACUAAUAUCUUGGAAAUAAUCUUAAAUUUGAAAUUAGCAACAACAAUUGGACUAUAAUCUUUAAUGGAGUCAGCACCUUGAAUCUUAUGUAUAAGAGAUACCACAUUACUAUUCAUUCUAUGGAGAACCUAGUUUUGUUUAAAAAAUUGUUGAACAACAUUGCAAACAUCUGUCCCAUUAAUGUCCCAACAAGAACGAUAGAAAACACCACCAAAACCAUCAGGACCAGGAGCACUAUUACCAUUAAGAUUAAAAACAACAGUCUUGAUUACCAAAAAUUCAGGACAUUUAAUCAACAUCAUAUUCUCCUCAGAAGAAACUAGCUCAGGAAUAUAAUAACCAAUAAAAUCUUCCAUAUUACUUGUAUCUGAAACAUUAGAAAUAGACUUAGCAUAAAGAUUUUUAUAAAAGUCCAAAAUAUGAUCCCCAAUGAGUUUAGAAUCCUCAGUAACCUCAUUAUCAAUUCGUAGACGAUGAAUUCGACUAGAAUUAUUUCUCCUUUUGACCACAACAUGGAAAAAAGCAGUAUUUCGAUCUCCAUCUUUGAACCAUAACAUCUUGACUCUUUCUUUCCAAAACAAAUAUUGAUAGUGAAGAGCAUGAUCAUGCUCCUCUUUAGAAAUCUUUUCUUGACAGAGAAGUCCAUCAAUAUCAGACAGACUAGCCGUCUUUAAGUUUUGUUGAACACCAAGGAGAAGACCCUGCUUAAGAAGAACUGCAUUGUGAACAUUACCAAAAUAAUUUUUAUUCGAGUCUCGGAGCUCAAUUUUCAACCUUUUUAACUUAUGUUGCAAAAUAAACAUAGGAAAACAAACAACUUUAUUAGCCCAAGAAUCAUGAAUAAGCUUUAGACAUGAGGUGUCCUAAAGCGGCAUAGAAAAGAAACAAAAAUUGCUAACCUUCCUUAAAGAAUUACUAGCAAGACUAGGAGAAUGAUCAGAACAAUUUUUAACAAGAACUUGAUAGGUAUAAGAAUCCCAUUCAUCCAGACACACUCCAUUACAUAGAGCCCUAUCCAGUCUUCUAUGAAUUCUAUUGAACCCUUUCCUUCCAUUACACCAAGUAUAACAGGAUCCAGUGAAAGACAUGCUCCGCUACACGUUAUCGUCGCAUGCACAGAACCCCUCACAUCCGCUCGUCAUGCGCCACGCACAACACCACCGUGUUGGUCGCGUUUCACUGCAACGUCGUGCAAGCUCGUCGCACGCAGAUCACGCUCCUCCGCACUCGUCACGCAUAGAUCGACGCAGGGACCACUGCAACAGUAAGACAACUGUUUGUCCACGACUCGCACACCUCCGCGACACACCCCAAAGAGCCUCAAUACGUAGAAACCCUAAUGCACCACCUCCCACCUCUUUUAUUACGACAGUUAUUUUUUACCAUCUUUAUACGGGAUCAUAGAUUUCGUUUUUUAUACUAGUGUUAUAGAAUUAAGCAAUAAUAUAGUAAUUAAAAUGUGUUAAUUCUACAAACUUUAGAACUUUUCAUAUUUGUAGACUUGGAAAAAUUCAAUUUCCUAUUUCUUCUCUUAUUUUAUGAAAAAGAAAUAAGUUACCAACCAUAAAGAAGUUAAUUAAUGAUCAAUAAUCCUUGCAUAUAAAAUACAUGUACAUCAUGUACAGUUUUAUUCUAGAUUUAUAUUCAGGUCAGAGUAAUUAUAUAAUUUAUUUUGCUGAUGAAAAAGAAUUCUUACAAAUAUACUAUUUCCCAAAUCAACCACUACCCCAAAAAUUUAGAUUUCACUAUUAAUAUUUAAUAAAACAAAUUGCUUCAUGAAUCUUUGUGCUUCUAAAGAAACUAUUUGAAUUAGACUAUGUUACCUAGAAUGUUUAUUAUCAAUAGUGGAUAUCUUAGAAAAUUCUUCUAUCUGAGAUGAGGAGAAAGAAAAGAGAAUACUUAAUACUAAAAUAAUACAUACUUUAAUACACAUAUCAUACCAGUUACUAGAUAUGCCAUUACUUUAAUAUAUAAUUGUUAGUUUAGACAAAAUUCUGGCACAUUUUAACAUAUUUUGUACCUUAAAUGUAUUUAUACAAAUUACCUUGUUUGUCACAAAAGUUAAUCAUAUAAUUGAGUUAACAAUUGAAACCAAAUUUGGCUUGUUAUAUUUUUAAUGUGUUAUUUUAAAGACUAAAAAUAAACUACUUAUAUUUAAGAUAAAUAUCAUACUUUACCUAAAUAAAAUUUUGUUUGAAAUUGAUCAUCAAACUUUCUUUAAUAUGGAAUUUUUUUUCUUAAUGAUCGGACAGAAAUGCCUAAACCAAUCUAUAAUAGAUGCAUCCUCCAAUAUGAUUAAUAAUUAUAUAAAAAAAAAACUAUGACAAUAAUUAAACAAACAAAAAUAAGAAAGCAGAAAAAGAGCAGCCAUGGAUGAAAACACUUAAAAAUAAUUAAAAAGUUUUUUUAUAUAAUUGAAACUAAAUCAAUUAUCACAUGCUCUUUGAUAAUAAAAAAGUAAUUUGAGAAUUUUUCUUGAGUCGGGAUGCUAACAACAAAGUCCCCAAAUAGACUCGUUUGAUUAUUUCUAGGUUUGACUAGCCGUAGCAUAAGGGAAACAUUAACCCGUGUGCUGGUUUGGUUCUACAGGUUUCAAGACUAAUCAUAUAUCCAUAAAGAGAAUUUACCACUUUCCUUAUAGUUUUAUACCAUAAAAAAAUCAUUAAAUAAUAAUUAAAUUUAAAAAAUAAAAAUAAUCAUUAUAUUAAUUAAAUUAAAUAUUAUUUUAAAAAUUAAAAAAUUAUUAAUAUUUAAAGUAAUUUUUAUUAUUAAUACAAAUUUAUAAAAUAAUUAUUAAAUUAUUGUUUAAAAUAACUAUCAUAAAUUUGAUUAUUAAUAUUCUAAAACAUUCUAAAUUAGUUUCUAAAAGAAUUUAUUUUUUUAAAUAGAGUAUCUUGUGAAUUGGAAGUAGCAUAGGGAUGACAAAUCAAGGAAGAUAGAUAUUUUGGUUUUGUGAGGUAAAAGAGUGAGGAAUAAGGAUGCAUGUAUGGGGUAUGAAAGGGUAGUGGGGAUUUAUCAAGGGUUCAAGAAUUUUGAGCUAUGUGGUGGUUGAUAUAAUAUUUGGAAUUGUUGAAUUCUUAAACCAGGACAGGUUUGUAUAUAUGAGUUGAAAUACUACUUAAGUGUCUUGUUUAAUUUUAAUUAAUUUUUUUGUUGAUAAAAGAAUAAAUUAAUUUAAAAUAUUAAGUAGUUAGUAUGAUUAAAUAUUAAUUUAAAUAUUAUUUUAUAAAUUUUUAUUAAUAAUAAAAUUAUUUUAAAUAUCAAUAAUUUUUUUAAUUUAUAAAAUAGUGUUUAGUUUAAUUAAUAUAAUAAUUAAUUAUUUUAAUUUUAAAAUUAGUUAAUAUUUUAUAAUAAUAUUUAAAAAUUGAAUUCAUAGUCAUCAUCUCUCUGUAUAAAAAAAAUGUUACUGCCUUUAUAAAAUAUAACUCUGACGACAUAGAAAGGUGGGGAACAAGGUGGUUGCCACCGAGUUUAAAAAACAAAAAUAAGAUAAAAGAAAAGGAGAAAAUAACUGUUAGACACGGUUUAAUCUGGUAUGACUAAUUUGACUGAUGACCAUGGCCUAUCAUAUUUACACGUUUUUUUUCUUGACCACGUUUUGUGUUUGCUUUUAUUACCUUUUUUUAAUUUGAAAUGUUUUAUCCUGUUUGGAAUUGAGAGAACAUUGUCUUCUUCUGUAAACGCGUUCCAAUUACAGAUUUUCUCCUCUGUAAACGCAAAAUAUGCAUGAUGUGAAAGCAAAAAUAGAAAGUAGAGAAAAUGAAUAACAAAAAGAAGGCAUGACAAAUCUUCUUAAUGAGUAAGGAAAAAACAUGGGAGUUGGUUCAAUAAGAAUUCUUAACUAUAAAACUAGGGUUACACAUACUUUUUAUUUCUCAAGAUUUUUAUUGAAAAGAAUUUUUUAAAUUACUCUCUCUCAAAUCUCAAUAUAUGUUAAAAAUAAAACAAUUUUUCAUUUUAGAGAAGAUUAUGUUAGAAUGUAGGGUCAAAGGAAGAGGGAGGUGAAUUGUUUUCACAAGAUUUUCGCAAAUAUUGGAACUUGAGUGAAAAGAUCUAUAAAUCAAUCAAUUAAUUUUUCUAUUCAACUAGAUUAAUAGGUUUUUAUGAAAAAUCAACCAGUUAUUUUAUCGAACGAACUGACUGUUUACAAUAGAAAACAAAGAACAAAAUAUAAAGCAGUAUAUCAGAGUAGGGAAAGAGAGAUUCACAUAGAGAGAUUUAGACUAGUUCACUCUUAACCAAGAGUUACAUUCAAUCUUCAGCUAACCAGUGAGAAUUUACUAUGCAAUCAAAACUAUAUUCAAACCACACCAAGAAUGUCGAGCUUGAACCCCUCAAGAACACACAACACUCUUAGCCAAAACCACACCAAGAAUGUUGAUCUUGAACCCUUAAGAACACAUAACACUCUUAGCGAAAACACAGUUUUUAGAACCUCUUUCUGAAUUACAGUAUUCAAAUAAGGAAAUAGAAAACACUUGGAGUUUUCAAAGAAGUAGAACAAUUGAAUUGAAAAUCCAAGUACUAUUUCACACACAAGCAAUGAUCCAAAAGCUCUUGUUCUUCUCUUGAAUUUUUUUUUGAUAAAACUCUCUAGAAGAAGUGGAUUUUUUUUCCUUUCACAUUUUUUGGUCAAUUUUGUAGAGAAGGUGUAGGGAUAUCUUGUGCGAAAGCGUGAUAAUUUCAACCAAAGAUUAUGAGAAAUUAAAGUAAUAAAGAAAAUGAGAAUGAUAACAGACAGAAAUUUUUAGGUGAAAAACCCCUUUAAAUAGAGGUAAAAAAACCAUCGGCGAGAGAGCCAAAACUUCCACUAUAAUGGUACUGGGGUACAGUGAGUUCCUCUCAGGCUAAUAGAUAAAUAGCCCUAAAACAAAUUCUCUCUAUAUGGGUUAAACACUUACAUCCAAGAGAAGAAAUAGAGAGUAUAUGAAAAGAGGGAGGAAGCAAAUGUAUGUUGUUGUUUGUUGUGUGUUAAAUUGCUUGAAGGAAGCCACUAUAUAUAGUGGUUCUAGAAAACAACAAUAAUAAAGACAAUUAAUGGUAAUUAACCUCCCUUUAAUAACAAUUAAUUGUGAACGGUAAGUAACCUCCCAAUAAUUUCAAUUAAUUGUCAACGGUAAGUAAUCCCCAUUUAUGUCAAGAAAACAGAAAUGUGAAUCAUAACCCACAGAAGGAAAUAUCAAAUUGUUUCUAGCUAAGAAGAAGAAAAAAACAUUGUACUCAUAUCUGAAUGAUACUCAAGGACAAAAUCCUGUUUAUUUAAUUAACUUUGUACUCUGGGGUCAAAUAUCAACCUACAUUAAACAUAAAAGAAAAGUGAGAUAAGAAAAUUAAGACAAUUGUAUUUUAAGAAAACAUUAAAGAAAUAAAGCCAUUUUUUAUACAAGUUUUGUUGGGAAGAAAUAUGGCCAUUUUCAAAUUGUUCAUUUUGUGUUGUUCAUUGCCUAAGUUGGGAAACAUCAUAAAGUGUUGUUUUUGUGAUUUUGGAAAAAAAAGUUAGCAGCAUGAUUUAAGUGAAAAGGGUUGCAAUCCUCCUUUAAGGAUUCUUUUUCAACGAGGAUUUUUUUCAACUUGCUUAUAGGGGUGUUAUAAUAUACUCCUUGUCUUUUCUAGAUUCCCAUUUCAUUUUCUCUUAGUCUUAUCUUGAUUUCUUAUUUAUUGAGCAAACAUGUCCCUUACUUUUAUUAUUUCUUUAUCCAUUUUUUUUAUGUUUUCUCUCGGCCUUCUUACCUUAUCACUAGACGAGCCAUAGGUGAGCCUCAUUGUCAGCUAUGGACCUUUAAGAAUGUAAGUUUCUCUUUCAACCUGACUUUGAGUUGCACAGACAGCUAUAUCAAAUUAAGGAAAUUUCACAUGCACGGGUCCCACAAUUGCAACCAAGCAAAAAAAUAAAUAAAUCAAAGUCUUCAAACCGUGGACUCUACUGCACCAUUUUGCUUCAAAAUUUUCAAUUAAUUUUCACUGCAUCAUUCAUCAAUUCACCAAUCAUCAAAUCACGGCUUCCCCACAAGAAUAUUCAAAGUUUUUUUUUUCUUAAUCAAAACCGUGUACUCCACUACAUGUGAUUUCAAUUCAACACCAAAUUUUAAAGUCAAUUGAAGAAUGCAAAUCACCAGUGAAUUUCCAAUUUCCAAAAUGCUACUGCAUGUGACAAGAGGUUUCAAAGACGCGGGUCCAACUUGAAUGGAAUUUCUUUCAAAUCAUUUUUCUAUGCAUGCAAGUGACAACUCCACCAGAAAAUUCAGCCUCUUAUCAAUUUGUUAGAAUUUUCUGGAAUUCAAUUUCUCGCUGUUUCUGCUCACAGAUUGUAUUAAGUUUUCAGCAAUAUAGAAAACAAAAACACCAUUAGCAAUCAGCAUCUGCGAGUUGAACAAUUCAAAUACUUUGUGUCACACCAAUGUAUUGUCGUGCAUAUGAGACACAUAUGCUUCACUAAUCUGCUUGCGUAAAUUUAUUUCAACCAUUUAGAGCAAAAUCACAUCAGUACCAAACUUAGCUAUACUGCACCAGAAAAUCAGAUAGAAUCUGCAGCACAAAUUUGUACUAAAGUUCAUAAAAUAGCACACAAUUUUAGUGCUGCUCCAAAAUUAGUCUUCAAUUCCUAAAAAACACCAGUAGCGCACCAACUGUUUGACGAAAUGUGUCACUACUGAUUUCAAUUUCAACCUCAAAUUGCUUUCGUAGAUUGUUCAGUUCAAAUAACUGAAUCGCAUUGAAUCUUCACGCCAGCAAAAUUCGACCUUCCUGCUUCAGUUAUUGUAAAUCAAUAACGAAUUUUUGCGAGCUGCUAAAAACAGUGCGAAUUUUGCUGACGCUUGAGAAUUAACUUCUCUGAUUUCGAUUUUCUACUUCACUCAUGUUUGCGCCAUUUCAACACAAAUCAUCCACAGGGAACACCGAUGUGAAUUUCACGAACAACACAUCACCAGAACAAAUUGCAGAAAUCAACUUGAACAGUUCCGAUUUCAACCUCUUCACGUAUCAAUACGUCAAGUGCGAAGAGCGAAAAACUUUUAGCAAUUAAGAAACACCAGCAAUUUCACUCGUAUAAUUUCAUUUUUUAAGAACGAGCCAAAAAUUUCAAGCACAAAAUGAAUUGACUGAAAACGCAACAAGAAUUCUCAUGAAAAUCUGAAAAACAAAUCAGAUUAUUCGCCCAACCAAAAUCACUUUUCGCACAACAGAUCUAAACAGAUUACUGUGCACACCACUCAAUUUCUCUUUGAACCACGAAAAAAAAAAUCGGAAAUUUUUCGAGAUAUUUCGAAAAUUGAAUAUGGAGAAGAUGAUAAUAGAAACCUAAUUUUAAAUAAAAUUGUUAAUGAUCUAAUAGCAAUUUGUGAACUCAAAAAGAAAAAUCAAAAGCACUCAAGAGAUCUAAUUUAUGAAAAAAAAAUUCAAAAAAUUUAAAUAAUGGAGUUUAUGACAAUGUUUUCUAGACAAAAUAUUUAUGAUUAUAAGUCAAAAUGACUCAAUUAUAGAAAAUUACCCCAAACAAAAUUGAAGAAAACUCACAAAUUUCAAAAGAACACGUGUUCACCGUAAUACCUAAAAGCACAUAUAUAAAGUUAAAGUAAUAACAGUGAAUUUGAACCAAACAAAAAGACAAAAGAAUACAAAAUCAAUCUUUAAAUUAUGAACAACAUGGAAAAUAGAAUUUUUUUUAAAGAACUUACUGAUCUCUUUUUAUUACCAAAUGAUGCAAUCCUACUUUGCAUCUUCAUUUGUAGAUCUUCUUCUUCAUUGUUUUUAAUUUGAAUUUGUUCAAUGGAAGAUAAAUAACAACGGAAACUUGAAGAAUUGUAGAAAUUUGAAAGAGAUAGAAAUUAUGAUGGUGGAUCUAAGUGAAGUUAGGUCAAUACUUAGUUUCUAGAGUGAGGUUGGACCAACACUAUUAGGAUGAGCCUAUAAAGUUUUUUAACAAGAAACCAAAUCUAGAGAGAACUUUGAACAAGUAAAAGUGUCUCACAAAUUGGACAACAUUUCAUUACUCAAAUCAUAGUUAAAAAAUCAUGUACAAUAGACUCCUAUUUAUAGGAGAAAGUCUCUCAAACCCUCUCAAAUGAGAGUGUGACAAGUGACAUGCCUUCAUUGGAGUAAAAUCAUCUCCAUUGAGGAUAGGACAUGUGCACACUUGUGCCUUCACCGCCUACAUAUCUAUUUUCACCCCUCUUUUAAUAUUUUACACUCUAUAACAUUUUCUAUUUACACCCUACUCUACUUUGUCCCAAAAUACAAGGUCCAAUACUCUCUAACUACUUUAUACAACUUUUACAAGGCUAAGAAUAAGAAAAAGACUUUACAAUCUCUUAAGUAAUGCUCGAUCUUCGUCUAUCUUCUUAGCCAAAGUUUCAAGGCCGGAUGAUUUCCAUCACAUACUCCUAAUAACUUUUGUGAACACGAGGCUUUUAUGUCUCAAAUUAAACCUAAGACUAUAGGUGAAGCUCUUAAAGAUUAAAAUUGGAUCGUUGUUAUGCAUGAUGAACUUAAUCAGUUUAUUAGAAAUGACGUAUGAAUUCUUGUUCCCAAAAUUACAAACAUGAACAUAAUUGGAACCAAAUAGUUUUUAGAAAUAAGCUUGAUGAAUUUGGUCUUAUAACAAGAGAAAGAGAUAGGUUAGUUGCUAAGGGUUAUAAUAAAAAAGAAAGAAUCAAUUAUGAUGAAAAAACCUACGCAUUUGUUUCUAGACUAGAAGCUGUUAGAUUGCUACUUGCUUUUGCUUGUAUGAGUGGUUUCAAGCUGUUGUACAAGAUGUUUUGAUGUCUCCAAAUCCAAGUGGAAAGCUUGAAGACCUUGUUGUUGUUGUGCGUGUGUGUCUAGUUGUUUGAAACUUGUUAAUUCACUCUUUAAGUUAAUCCAAACUCAAUUGAAUCUUUAACAUUUUGAAAAGAUGGUUUUUCUAAAAGGAAGUGGAAUUUCAACCCACAAGUUGUUUUGACACUUACUAGAUUUUAAAAUGAUUUGAAAAAGCUUUGUCUUUGCCUUUGCUGUCAAACAAAUUUUAACAGGUUGAAAUUUCGAAACAACAGGUUGUUUGACACUUAGUUGAUUUCAAAAUGAUUUGGAAAAGCUUUAUCUUUGCCUUCGCUGUCAAACAAAUUUCAACAGGUUGAAAUUUCGAAACAACAGGUUAUUUGACACUUAGUGGUUUUAAUGCUGUCAAAUAAAAUUCAAUCGAUUAUUUCAAAAAAUCAACCAAUUGUUUUGCUGAAAACCUUAACAGAAUUCUAUUAAGUGGUUUUUCUGUUUUAAAUGAUUCCAACUGCUUUUGGGCUUUUGUUGUAACUGUUUUAACCAUUUGAUUGAAAGAUAAAAAUGUGGUUUUACGCUCCUAUGCAUUGACUAAGUAAAAGAGAUCAAUCAAAAACAGUUUUCAAGUUUUCAAAGAGCUUUUGAAAUUGUCUCAAGUGUGUGGAAUAGGAUUGGGUCUUGUAUUCUGAACUUUGAUCUUGUGGUUUACCCAGGUGUAUUCUAUUCUCUUCAUUCUUAAUAAUUGUAUUUUUGUACUAGUGUUUCCAAGAAGUGUUGUGUGUUCUUGAGGGGUUCAAGAUCAACAUUCUUGGUGUGGUUUUUGCCAAGGAGUGGUAUGUGUUCUUGAGGGGUUCAAGAUCAUUACUCUUGGUGUGUGUAGUUUGUAAUCUGUGAUUGAUUACAUAGUGAAUUCUCAGUGGUGUUUGAGGACUGGAUGUAGCUCAGGUGUUGAGUGAACCAAUAUAAACAUUCUGUGUGAAUCGCACUAUCCUUACACUCUUUAAAUUGCUUUAAAUCUGUUUUGAUAAAACUGUUGAUAUAUUUCACAAAAACAACAGGUUGAUUUUCUACAUCAAGCUUAAAACUGUUUUAUAUUUGGCUGGUCAGUUUUUCCAUUGAUUAAUUCUUCAUAGCCUUGCACUCUACCUUCAAUACUUGCGAAAAUCUUUCAAAAAUAAUUCACCCCCCUCUUGUUUUAGCCCUAUAAUUCUAACAAUUGGCAUCAAGAGCAAGGUUCUUGAAAGUUAUUCAAGUUUUGAUCCUAAACCUUUUUUAAAUGGCUGAAAAGUUCCCUUUUGGGGAGGGUGCUUCAAUAAACAGGUCACCUCUGUUUUGUGGACUGAAUUAUCAAUUAUGGAAGGUUAGAAUGAAAAUAUUUGUUGAAUCAAUUGAUAGAGGAAUCUAGGAUGCUAUUGUAAAUGUCCCUUUUGUUCCUAAAAUUGAAAAAAAUAAUGUUUUCAUUAAGAAACCUUGGUCCCAAUGGACUGAGAGUGAAACUAAAAAGGCUCAAUAUGAUUGCAUUGCUAAAAUUAUAAUCUCUUCUGCCUUAAAUUCCAAUGAGUUUUUCAGGGUCUCAAAAUGUGCUUUUGCAAAGGAGAUUUGGGACAUCCUUUAGCAUUUCCAUGAAGGAACAAUUGAUGUGAUGAACAGCAAGGACAAAAACCAGCCAUCAAACAGGUACAAUACCAAGAAUGUUAAUGAAUUUAAUUAUACAAACUACACUUGUUUUGGAUGUGGUAAACAGGGACACAUCAAGGCUGAAUGUCCAAACAAUGUGAGCAAAGAGAAAGGAAGCUACAAGAAGAAAGGCAAAUCAAGAAGAGCAUACAAUGAUGAUUCAUCUUUAAGUUUUUCAUCUUUAAGUUAAGGAAGAAUCUUAAUCAAGCAGUGUAAGUUCAAGCUCUUCCAUUAAUGUUGAAAAUUAUAGCCAACUUCUUGAGGCCUUCAAUGAGACUCAUGAAGAAGCUAAUAGGUUGGCUCUUUUGAACAACCGGUUCAAAGGUUUAAACAUCUGGUUGGAAAAUCAAGUCAAGACUUUGGAAGAAGAGUUGAACCAUUCAAAAACAGAUUUUGAAAGUUUGGAAUGAUUUACAAAAACUCUUCUUGCAAGUGUGAUUCUAGCUUUUGUGAAAAUUGUGAAUCACUUGAAAAGAAAGUCCACUACCUUUUAAAAACUGUGGACAAGUUUUCCAAAGGCCAAUCCAAUCUUGAAUCUAUUCUUGAUUCUCAAAAAUGUGUUUUUGGCAAGGUUGGGUGGGGGUUUAAUCCAAACAGCAAGAACAGAUAUGUUUCAAAAUCCUUUUCAAGUUUCUUUGAAAAACAACCUGUUGUUUUGUCAAAACAAUCGGUUAAAAUUUGCCAUUACUGCAUGAAAAGGUGUCACUCUAUUAGAUUAUGCAAAGUAAGGAGGUUUUUUGUCCCAAAGGUAUUUUAAAAUGGGUUCCUAAGGUUUCUGAGGUUCCUAAGGCUCUCACUAACAUCAUUGGACCCAAAUUCAUAAGGGGACCAAAUCUUGCUUUUUAAUCUUUUCUUGUAGGUAUCCUUGGCAGCCAAGAAUCACUUUUGUGUUUGAAGAAUGACUGAUAAAGGGAAGAACAUCAAGAGCAAAGUCAAUCUUUGUACCUACACUUUUCAAUUGUAUAUGUCUUUCAAGGUUCUUUGAAUGUCAAGAGACAUCCUUGACACAUGCAUAGUGGUUGAUCAAAAGAGAAACUUCAGGAAUAAAGAGAGUAUGUAUGUUUUCAUUUCUCAAUUUAUGUAAGUGUGCCUUGUGACCAUUUGAACAUCUCAAAGUCUUCUUUUUGGGUGAAUCUAUUAGGGUUCUCUGUGCAAAGGUAUUGAACAAAUUGCAUACUGCAUUUUCAUCAAUUUAAAAGGUAAUUUUUGGUUAUGAAAAAUGUUCACUUUGCUGUCAUAGUAAAACAAACGAUUGUUUUUCCUCUGACACCUUUGUAUAAUGCUGCCAAGUUUGCUUAUGCAUGAUUAAACCUAUUUCUCUUUUUCAAAUCAUGCUUUCAUACAAAUAUACAUUGUGUGUGCCUCAAAAUCUGAUAAUAAAAGAUUAUAUUCACUUGUUUUCUUAUAAGCUCUAUAUCAUUUCCUAUUCUUGAAAUGUCAACAUUGUUUGUAUUGCUGCACUAAUGUAUUAUCAUUCUGAUUUCUGCUUUGUACAAACCCUUCUCAUUGUCUAUUUGUGAGAACAAAUAGGGAGAGAAAUUUAAGCUUGAUUUGGUUGUAUAGAUAGCUUUAAAACUGUGCAUUAUGUUGUUGUUAUUCUGCACUUGAAAGCACUUGAACACUUCACUUUUUUUGGUUUUUCUUGUAUAUGCAGAAAAUUGGUUUGUGUGUGUCUUGUUAUCUUGCUUCUAUACUUGCUUUGUAUAUGCGUAAAUUAUGUGUUGUAGGACCUUUCAAGUAUAGGUUACCGAAAAUAAGGCUUCCUAACAUUUGACCUAAAGUUCUAUUAACCACCUCGGUUUGACCAUCAAUUUGGGGGUGACAAGUAGUAGAAAACAAGAGUUUAGUUCCAAGUUUUCCCCACAAGGUCCUCAAAAAAUAGCUUAAGAACUUUGAAUCGGACACAAUACUUCUGGGAAGCCCAUGUAAACGAACUACUUCCUUAAAGAAGAGAUUUGCAAUAAAGCAAGUAUAAUCUACUUUGUGGUAUGGAAUAAAGUGAGCCAUUUUAGAAAAUCAGUCCACUACAACAAAUAUAGAAUCCACACCCUUCGAUGUCUUGGGAAGACCUAAGAUAAAAUCCAUAGAAAUAUCGACCCAAUGCAUUGUUGGAAUAGGAAGAAGGGUAUAUAAACCAUGGGGUUGUACUUUAGAUUUAGCCUUCCUACAUGCUAUACAUUUAUCACGGAAGCUAUGUACAGAUUUGCGCAUGUGUGGCCAAAAGAAAUACUCAUGCAAUGUAUCUAAAGUUUUAGCUAUCCUAAAGUGACCCACGAGCCGACUCUCAUGUGCUUCCCUAACAAGAGAUUGCCUUAAAGAUCCUUGGGGAACACAAAGUCUUUUUCCUUUGAAAAGAAAACCAUUAUGUAUGAAAAAUUCUUUGUGUGCUCCUUUGGAAAACUCUUGAUAGAUAAGAGAAAAAUCAAGGUCAUCAUUAUAAAGUUCCUUUGUGUGCUUUGGCUUUUCAAAUAUUUAAGAGAUUCAUGGUCACUAUGUAUCACAAAUUCCUUUGGAAAAAUAUAAUGUUGCCAAUUUUGCAAGGCUCUUACAAGAGCAUAAAGUUCCUUAUCAUAGGUGGAGUAGUUGAGAUAACUCUCCUUGAUUUUCUCACUAAAAUAAGCUAUGGGGUGGCCCUCUUGAAGGAUAACAGCCUCAAUGCUUACGUUGGAAGCAUCACAUUCUAUUUCAAAUGUUUUAGUAAAGUUAGGAAGAGCUAAAAUGGGAGCAUUAGUCAAUUUUUCCUUUAAAGUUUCAAAAGCUUUAAUUUGGUCUUGUCCCCACUUGAAUACCACAUCCUUCUUUACUAUAGCAUUUAUAGGUGUGGCAAUAGUACUAAAGUUUUGCACAAACCUCCUAUAAAAACUAGCAAGGCCAUGAAAACUUCGUACCUCAUUAACAUUGGUGGGUGUUGGCCAAUGUUGAAUUGCUACAACCUUUUCUUUGUCUACAUGCACCCCUUUAGAACAUACCACAAACCCUACGAAGUCUAUAUGAUCUAAGGCAAACACUUAGCAUGAUUAUCAUACAAACUUUCCUUCCUAAGGGUUUCUAAGACUUGCCUAACAUGUGAGUCAUGAUCUUCUAAAGACAAGCUAUAGAUAAGGAUGUCAUCAAAAUAAACUACUACAAACUUGCCAAUGAAAGGUUUAAGAACAUGGUGCAUGAGUCGCAUGAAGGUACUAGGAGCAUUAGUUAAGCCAAAAGGCAUAACUAACCACUCAUAUAAACCAAAUUUGGUCUUAAAAGCGGUUUCCAUUCAUCCCCCAAUUUAAUUCGAAUUUGAUUAUAACCAUUCUUAAGAUCAAUUUUGGAAAAUAUUUUAGACCCAUGUAAUUCAUCCAACAAGUCGUCUAAUCUUGGUAUGAGAUGUCUAUACUUGAUGGUUAUCUUAUUUAUAGCGCGAUAAUCCGUACACAUCCUCCAUGUCCCAUCCUUUUUAGGGACAAGGAUUACAGGCAUAGCACAUUGGCUCAUGCUAUCUUGUACCCACCCCUUAGCUAUUAAACCCUCAACUUGUUGUUGAAUUUAUUUUGUCUCAGUUGGAUUGGUCCUAUAGGCAGGCCUCUUUGGUAAAGAAGCAUCGGGUAUAAAAUCAAUUUGGUGCUCAAUGCCCCUUAGAGGAGGUAAUCCUUUUGGGGGGUCUUGAAAAACAUCAUUAAAUUCCUUUACCAAAUUUGCCAAACUAUGAGGACUAUCUAACUUUAUCUCAUUCUCAAGAGUCCUAGGAAUUACUAUAAACAUAUUCUUUUGGGAAAGCAUUACCUUUUUGACUUCUUGGUGGGAAAUGAGAAGGCUUCUCUUUGUUUUUGCUUUUCGGGUCUCUCUCUUUUUCUUUCAUCUUAAUUUGGUCCUCAUGGACUUCCUUUGGUGAAAGAGAUUUUAAUGUGACCUUAUGCCCAUGGAAAUUAAAAUUAAUUUUGUUGGUAAGGCCAUCAUGAAUUGUUUUUCUAUCAAAUUGCCAUGGCCUACCUAAAAGCACACAUAAUACCUCAUCCUUAUAUUUUCUAAUGGAAAAGGCUAUGAGGACUUGUUUGCUCACUAUAAUUUCCCCUUCUUCACUUAGCCAUUGAAUCUUAUAGGGCUUGGCAUGAGAGAUAGUAGACAAGCCAAGUUUAUCUACUACUCUUGUGCUAGCCACAUUUGCACAACUACCUCCACUAUUAAAGAACACAACUUAUCAUUGAUGAGACAUCUAGUAUGGAAAAGAUUUUCUCUUUGUAUUUCAUCAAAGGGUUUCAAAACUUGGACUAGCAUACGUCUCACCACUAAUAAGUCGCCUUCACAAGGUGUUUCACUCUCAUUUUCACUAGAGGAUCUAGAGGUAUUGGGAGACCUAGAGUGUUGGGAACUAUGAUCACUAACAACUACCCCUUCAUGCACCAUCAUGUUACACUUAGAAGGACAAUUAGAUGCAAUGUGACCAUAGCCUAAACAUUUAAAACAUUUUCUAUUUGAAGUUUUAGAUGGAGAUUUAGGAUUGGAAGGUGAAGGUUUAGAAUCUCUAGCUUUGUAAGUGGACUCUUUAAAAUUUGAAGGAAAAGUUGAAGAAGAUUUGUUUUUGUUUUUCAAAGAAGAGUGGUAAAAGCCAUCAUUGUGAGGUUUUUGAAAAGAAGCUUUCUUUGAAAGUUGUGAUUCUACCUUGAUGGCAAGGUGAACCAAAUUUUCUAAAGAAGAAUAUUCAUGCAAUUCUAUCACAUCUUGAAUAUCUCUCUUUAAUCCACUUACAAAUCUAGCCAUCUUUGACUCUUCACUUUCAUGCAUGUUAAUCUUAAUAAGCAUCCACACUAAGUGUGCCUUGAUGAAACCUUUGGAGUUUUAACAAAAAGUCUUUCCUAUAAUGUUGAGGCAUAAAUCUAGCGUGCAUGCAUUGUUUUAAAUCCUCCCAAGAGACCACGGGUUGUCUCUUGUUUAAACUAAUGUCCAUGAGAGUUUUGUGCCACCAUUGCAUGACAUAGUCCAUAAAUUCUAAGGAGACUAAUCUAACUUUUUGGUCAUUUUGUACCUCGUGUACAUUAAAAAUUUGUUCUACUUUAGCCUCCCAGCCUAAAUAUACAUUAGGAUUACCAUCUCCACUAAAACUAGGUAAUUUUACAAAUGGAAAAUAAGGCUUUGCCACAUUUUGGCGCCUAUCUUCAUAAUGUUGGUGUCUCCUACAUUUGGUUUCUUCAUCAUAGCCACCAUAAUUGUGAGAACUUCUUAAGUCAUAUCUAUGAUGAUGUCUUCUUUGUCUUGGAGACCUUUCAUGGUGCAUUUCCAAUCUUUGGAGUCUUUCCUCGAAUUGUCUCAUUUCUUCCUCUUUUUGUGCAAUUGUCUUUCUAGCUUCCUUCAAUUCUCCAAUUAGGAUAGCUUUUUGAGGAAAAUGUUGUUUAGAUGAUUCACCACUAGAAAGAUGAUCCAUAUUAUCAAACAAACACAAAACACAAUGAACAAACAAUUAGAAGAAAACAAGUUAGAUGGCAAAAAUUGCUCACGACCAAAGAAGAAAAGAUUAAACAACUCCAAGAAAAUUUUACUUCCCUUAACCAAAGUCUCCUUGUGGAUUCGGUAAAUCUCAAGUGAAAGAUGCCAAAGCAAACCACACUUGCUCAAAGCCAAAUCACCAUAAAACUUUAAGGAAGAAGAAAAGACAAACAAGAAAAGUGUAAAACAAGAAAGGCUAAACCAAAGUGACAAAAGAGAUGUGACAAAACUUAGAAAUAAAAGACAAACAAGAAAAGAACAAAAAAAACUCAAAGAACCUUACUAAACCUUUAACUAUGACACUUUUGAACUAGAAUAUUGUUCAAGCAAAAGGAUACAAAAUUCCACAAAGUAGAAAACAAUUUGUCAAUCAAGUUGAAUCCAAAAGUGUGAAAAAUGAAUUUCUAAACCAAUUAAUAAGCAAGAUGCCUUUAGAAACAAUUGCUCACUAUUCUGGAAACAAAUACCCACUGUUUUGACGUUAAUUAGGUACUGUUUUGGGUAUUAUAAAACAAAACCUUUGCUGUUUUUUUUUUAUCCUAAUUGCAUCAACCAAAGUUUCAAGAACAUUCAAUUUCACAACAAAAAUUUUGGUGGAUUCAAGACAAUUGAACACUUGCAAUCAUAUGUUUGGAACUUAACAUCAAAUUGUACUAAAACAAAGUUCUAAUAGAAUUGGAAGAGUCACAAUCAAAAGUAAGCAAGAAGAAUCAAAAUAAGAACACCUAGAACACUAAAGAACAUAUAACACAAAGUAAAAGCAAGAUCAAUAAAAAGGCACAACAAGAAACAUAUACAAAACAAAAAAUGCAAUGAAUAUAACAAGGGAAAAAAAUUGCACAAGAAUUAAAGGUGCUGGAAAAUUAAAAACAAAAAUGUAAUGAUAAGAAAGUAAAGAAACUUGAAUGUAAAUUGCUUGAAUUAAAAGUGCCAAAUCAACUCAAAAAGAAGAACAAACCCAUGGCUCAUGAUACCACAUGACGUGAGUUGAAUCAUGAAUAGACACUUUCAAGAACUAGGAUCAAGAUUCAUUAACAAUUCAAGAACAUAAAAUCAAGAACCCAUAACCAAAUUGAAAACCCAUUAAAGAAGAUGAACCGAAUACAAAUCACUUAAACCAAAUGGAAACCCAUGAACCGAUUGAAAAUUCAAUUGGAAGCACAUGAAACGAUUAGAACUACAAGAAAAUAGUCCCAACCGUUCAAAAUAAGAAACAAACAAGUUCUACCAAAUAGAAAUUAAGAACAACAACAAAACAUGUUUUAAAGUUUUGAUAUGACAUUGAAAUGGAAGAAGAAGAUGAAAGGAGAAACUUAUGUGGUUGUUGACAUGGGAAUGGUCACGCCACUUGAAGGAUGAUUGACUCCUAGAUGAGUGAGAGUGCCGCCACUUGAGAGUUCCCAAAACUCAAGAUAAGACUAAGAGAAGGAGACAAGUCUCACACAAAUCUGUCUCAAUUUGAGUAGAGUUUCUUUACUUCAAAAUUCAAUCUAAUGUGUCUUUACAAAAACCCAAGCUCCUCUUUAUAUAGAAAUAGAGGACCGGUCAUGAAUAGGCAAGAUAUAUGAGAAGGCUUUGAAAAUGAAGAGGCAAGGUACAUGAAAAGGCAUUUGCAAAUGUCGCCCCUUUUAAGUCACUACCUAUUCUAGAAAAAAAAUGACUUUUCCUACUACUUCCCUUUUAAUGUUUUAUCUUGAAUCUAUUCUAAAGAUAUUACAAAAAGAGACAUUAAUUGAUGUCCAUCACCUAAUGCUUGUGCCUUGCUUCUUGUAAUCCUUUGAGGCAUAAUAGAUGAAGUACUCAUAGGUUGGGUUUGGGCCUCACAUUGGGCUUGAGUUUGUUGAUAUUGGGCUUCAAGUGUCUUCUCUCCUUGAUCUACGUCACUGCUCACCGCAUCCAAAGCAAGUAUACUUAUUAGUAUUGAAGUCACUUAGCUUCUUGGAAUUGUACCUUCUGGAAGAUUGGUGUUUGUUGCUGCUCUUUCUCAAGAAUUUGCUAAACUUUUUUUACAACAAGCUAAAUGUAUCUUCCUCACUAUCACUUGAGUCUUGACACCUUCUAUUUCUAGCUGUUUUCAAAGCUAUGCCUUUGUUGUGCUUGUCCUCAUUUUCUUGGACAUACAAUCAGUUCAUUUCUAAUUUGUGCUCCCUCAGCUUACUAGACAAAGAGGCAAUAAACAUUGAGGUUAAAUCUUUUGAUUCUGAUAUGGCAGUAACCUUUGGCUACCAUGUUUUGUCCCGACAUUUGAGAAUCUUUAUAUUUAGUUCCUUUUCCUCAAAGGUCUUCCCAAGGCCUAUAAGAUGAUUCACAAUGUGAGAGAAUCUUUUCUACACUUCAGAUAUAGAUUCACCCUUCUACAUUCUAUAACUGAUUGAAUUAUUUUUUUCCUCUUGUUAAGCACUUUUUUAAUCUGUUGAACAGUUUUUCAAUUAAUUGAUUGUAUAUGAAUUUCAAACUGACUUGAAUCUUUUUCAAAUUUUUUGAAAAGCAAUUCAUCCUCUCUUGUUUUUGGCCAACGAUUCUAACAGGGAGAGAAUCAAUAAAAGUGUUAUUGAACCUUUUAUUUUGUUAAGUACUUGAUGUACAUAUUUUCUUUGACGAGCAGACACUAAACUAUGUUAAUUACUGGUUAUAGUAAACAUAAAUACUAGUUAGUCAAGUGAUAUUUAGCUAUGUUGUAAAAUUUGCACCUGACUUGAUCCUACUAAGCUAGAUGAGCUAAGCAUAAAGUGAGUUUUUAACUAUAUGUAUCUGAUUAUAUUUAUUAUAAGUUUUUUUUUCUUCAAGAGAAAUGUUUUAAGCCUCAUCAGAUGAAACAUGUAAAAAUAUAUGUGUAGAAAGUUUAGUCUUAAGCAUCAGGUAUACAUCAAGGAUAGUAGAAGAAAUAAUCAUAGUCUAAUUUUAAGUCUGAAUAGAAAAGAAAAUAUCAUAAACAAUUAUUUCACUUGAAUUAGUCAAGUUUGUUUGAUAUAAUACAACAGAUGAAAGAAUCUUUGAUAUGAUUGUGUUACGAACAAAAUUCUCCACUUAAGUGUCAUAAAUUAAAAGAGACUUUUGCAAAAGGUCGUUAAAUUUAUUUAAAUCACAAUUCAACUCCCUCUUGUUGUGAUUUUCUUAUUUUUCACAUAUACCCAUCUCCUUACAAAAAAUAAUAUCAUAAAGGUAAAAAAGAGACAAGACUAACUUCGAUUCUAGUUUAGUAUGCAUGAAUAUCAUAUGGGUGCAAACAACAAUGCAAAGAAAGUUAAAACAUAAAUGAAGAUGAAAAGUGCAAUCUUGUGUUAUAAAGCAAUAAUGAACUAAUACAAAAGUAAAAUAGUCAAGCUAGCAUGAUAGGAUCACCAAGAAAUGCACUAAACUUUCCCUCUAUAGUGGACAAGAUAAUAUAUAGUUAGUUAAAAUAGAAAAAACAAGAAUUAAUUAACUAACAAGACAAUGCUUGAUUCUGAAUAACAUAGUCUCUCAUUUUUCUAAAUAGUCUCCCACUAGACACUAGACAAAUAUUAAGAAAGAGAAUAGAACAUGAAACUUUAAUUUAUCUUUUAGGCCUAAACAACGUCCACUUCCACUAGUCGAUCUAAUAACUACCACGAUAUAGGAUUUUCGAACAAAGAGAAAAAAAUUAACUUUGAAACUGCUAGCAAUACAUUAGAGAUGGAUAGUAUUCUUGCCGGUUGACCUGGUCGCCUGUUGACUUCAAAGACAAGCUCUGGCUCCGUCUAUCUCUGGUGGAUUCUGUGCUUCCCUUUGGAUGUUGGAACGCGGCUCCAUUGAGAUAGAAGGGGCCUUACCUAUUGAUUGCACUUCCACGAUCAAGUCAGUACAGGGCUUAUAGAAACAAGAAGUAAGUGAGUAGUUUGAGUCUUAGAAACAACGUACCUUCACCUGGGAUCUCAAGUCCCUUUUAUUAUACUACCUCUAUGCUACCUCUUGUAACAACCUUCUCUCACAAGAAUCUUAUCUCGAGUGAAAGCAUGUUUAAUGGGAGAAGAGUCUGUUACAAUGCGCACAAUCUUAGUGCUGCAACUGCACAAAAUCUUAUCUACUUGGAGUUCAUAAAAUCUUAACAGAAUAACCAUCAGGGUACCAACCCAUGUACCAGCAUCAGGGGUCCAAUCUGUUUCACGUAGGCGCCCUCAGUGUGGCGCUACGCAUUAUACAUGCAACUUACUUACCGUGUCGUACCACACAUGGGCUUAGGUUUAAAGAGAAUAUUUUACUUGUGCUAGACACCACAUGUACUAAACGUAACCCUAUGUUCACAAAUACUCUUAAUUAGUAGUUUUAUGCUUACAUAUAAAAGAUUACUUCAAUUAUGCCAUACUGACCAAACUAGAUCCAACCACGUGGCCCAUUUUACUGACUCAACAGUUGAGCUGACCUGCUUACACCAUGCAUCGAGAUUCGACCCUCGAGCACUGAGCCCUGAGCACUCUAUAUAGUACAUAAGCCCCCCAGUCUCGAGCUGAGCUUGCUUCAGCGAAGAAACUAUCGAGUGCUCUGGUGGCUAACACAACAGUUUCUCAAUGGGUAGGUGAUAACCCAGUAAACCUUAACUAGCUUAAGCCAAUGCAUGCCUUAAUUAACUGGUGAUAAUAUAACUGACAACCUUAUCAACGUCAUUGAUUAAGCAUGGUAAAUCAUAGUGCUCUCGGCAGAACUAUAUUAUGGACGAUCUGUACCUUCUGGCUGCAAAGGAUGUUUCACUUGCUCGAGCACUAAAUAGCUACGUGAGCAGGGAAUUAAUUUGGUCGCGUAGGACUUUGUGCACUUGGAAAGUUUAACCUCUUUCCUCACACAUCCUUCCCUGUGAUCAGGGGUGACUUGAGCAUCUGACCUGGGGCCGAUCUCUACACCAAGUCUACCCUUAAAUGGCAUUUGGCGGUUUAGAGUAUCUGACUUGAGUGUUGGCUUACACAGUAAGUCUACUUUUAACACCUUCGUGGUGCAACUCUACCCCCAUAGGGGUAUCUUGAUUUUUUUCCACAAAGUGCCCAAGCUCGGAUGGUUUCACCAACGUCAAGGUGGGUUGCUCUCUAUACCUUUAGCUGUGCGCUUCUUAGUUACCGUUAAUUGUGGUUUAGUACCUCCUGGACUCAGAAUCUUACUGAAACAGGUUAUCUUUGCUAGUUUAAGCAAAACAAUCUUAGUUAUGGCUAGCUAUGAUUCUGGACACCUGAGUUCAAAGUCUUACUGAGCUUGGGUCGUUCCAUCUGAAUCACCAUAUACCUCGACGCUCCUAUGCUUGGAAUCUUACCAAGGAAACGCCAUCUUUCUUGGGAUAAGCCACAAAUGCACUUCUUUCAUAUCUUUUUUCCUUUAGGACAUCUGACCUGGGUGUCAAUUCACACGCCAUGUCUAUCAUAUUAAUGCCUUUUGCUUGGACUUUUUGACUUGGGUGUUAGCUUACAAUGCCAAGUCUCCUUUUAAACAUCAAGGUAGGUUGGCUUACCCGCCCUCUAAUAAGUAAUUUAGUUGGAGUAUCUGACUUGAGUGUUGCUUACACUCCAAAGUCUACUCUUCAACCUCCAGGUAGGUUGGCUUACCUGCCCUCGGAUAAACAAUCUUUCAUUCAGUUGGAGUAUCUGACUUGAGUGUUGGCUUACACUCCAAAUUCUACUCUUCAACCUCAAGGUAGGUUGGCUUACCUGCCCUUGGAAAAAUAAUCUUUCAUUAAAUUGGAGUACCUGACUUGAGUGUUACUUACACUCCAAAGUCUACUCUUCAACCUCGAGGUUGGUUGGCAUACCCUGCCCUUGGAUAGAUAACUUUAAAUUCAGUUGGAGUAUCUGACUUGAGUGUUGGCUUACACUCCAAAGUCUAUUAUUUAACCUCGAGGUAGGUUGGCUUACCUUCCCUCGGAUAAACAAUCUUUCAUUCAGUUGGAGUAUCUGACUUGAGUGUUGGCUUACACUCCAAAGUCUACUCUUCAACCUCAAGGUAGGUUGGCUUACCUGCUGUUCCGCCCGGUUGACCGGGACGUCUUCGUGCGCGACCUCAACCGUCAGCUAGGGACUCCUUCCCACUGGUUGCCUGUGGAUUCCUGCAAAGAAGAGGACAAAGAGGCGCCCUAGCGGCCGUGUGCACUCCGACGCUCAAGUCAGCCAGCAAGAAGCACCAAAACUGUCCACCUACGUCUCUGAGCACCGCGUAUGGCACUCUGAAGGUGGUAAAAGAACUGUGUAUAUGUGUGUGUGUUGUCUCUUUCAGGCAAAAAUAUUCCCCAGUCACUUGUACGUAACCUUGAAGCACGAGCAAGCAACUAGAGAGUUCUCUGGUCAAUUUGCCAAAAGUUCCAACCCUUUUUCCAACAUUCCCUGCGCUAUUUAAACUACCCAAGCAUUUAAAGCGUCUUAAAGCGCUUUUAAUCACAAACGUAACGCACUCAUUAAAGCGUUUAAUUAGAAAACGUAGCGCAUUUAAGACGUUGAAACGCUCGGGAGCCAUUAUAGUACCUGAAUGUUCGAAAGGGAAACUGUAUUGAAUGACUUUUAAUUACCUGGCACCUGACUAAAGGGUGUUUCUAUUCUGGCAUGGCUGUCGUACACGUGGAGGGCCUCAUGACGCCAUGACUCCAUCUGGGGGCGCUUCUGCCCACCUGGAGACGUUUCUACGUGUGAGUCCUCCUGCUGGGAGUGCUACUGUGCUAGGGGUGACUUUUUGGGUGCCAACUCAUGCGCCCAAUCAUCUAGUCACUCACUCUGAGAGCGUAUCUGCCUUCCUCUCGCACCCUGCACCCGGUUACCCUGGGCGUGACCUUCCUCUUGGGUCGUAUCUGUCCCGAAGGCGUCUCUGGGGCGGCAGGGAUACUUCACGAGUCAGGCUGCCCUACCCAGAUGCUAUCACUAUGGCCUUGAAGCCACCUUUUCCUUCUCUUUAUCACUUUCCCGAGCUAUCGGGACCUGAGGUCUUCCCACGGUGUCGCUCCCUCCAUGGUCUUUCCUACCCAUGGGUAUCGGGGAACCACACUGUGAUUGCCUUGUUUUUACACUGUUUGACCUGGCGACGCCUUAGUUGGGCGACACCUUCACCUGGGCGACGCCUUCACCUAGGCGACGCCUUGCCUUGGCGACGCUUCCUCUUGGCGAUGCCGGCACUUGGCGUCUCUCCACCUAGGCGACGCCUUGCGUUGACUUUGACUCUUCAGCCGUUGACUUUGACCUUGAUUUGGUCAACGCCCGGAUACGGGACGGUACACCUGCCCUCGGAUAAACAAUCUUUCAUUCAGUUGGAGUAUCUGACUUGAGUGUUACUUACACUCCAAAGCCUACUCUUUAACCUCGAGGUAGGUUGGCAUACCCUGCCCUUGGAUUGAUAAAUUUAAAUUCUUUCAGAAUACUUGAACUCAUAAUUUUACUGAGACAAAGGUCGUCUUUCUUAGCUCAAACCAAACGAUCGCAAGCUACGAUUCAGGGUACCCAAGCUCAGAGUCUCACUGAGCAAAAGGUCCUCUCGCCUAAAUCGCUACGAGUCUCUAUGCUCCCAAUCUUGGAAUCUUACCAAGGGGAGGUUGUCUUUCCCAGCUCAAGCCAAACGAUGGCGAGCUACGAUUCAGGAAACCCGAGCCCAGAGUCUUACUGAGCAAAAGGUACUGUUGCCUGAAUCGCUACGACUCUUUAUGCUCCCAAUCUUGGAAUCUUACCAAGAGGAGGUUGUCUUUCCCAACGAUGGCGAGCUACGAUUUAGGGUACCUGAGCCUAGAGUCUUACUGAGCAAAAGGUCUUCUCACCUGAAUCGUUACGAGUCUCUAUGCUCCCAAUCUUGGAUUCUUACCAAGAAAAGGUUGCCUUAUCUUAAAACAAUAUGCACAGAGCGCUUGCUCGGGUAUUCUACCAAGACAGGUCACCUUACCUAGCAUUAAACAAUCAGAACUUUAGAUCAUCAGAACUCAAAAUCUUACCAAGAAAAGGUCGCCUUAUCUGAAAACAAUCUGCAUAGAACGCCUGCUCGGGUAUUCUACCAAGACAGGUCGCUUUACCUAGCUUUAAACAAUCACCUGCACACAAGACGCCUACUCGGAUAAUCUUACCAGGGCGGGUUGUCUUAUCGUGUCCUAACAAAUAAACAAUCUUAACGCAGUAUCUUUCAAGAAUAUCUUUUUCAUUGGGUGACCUCAAUAAAAAUCCUGAAAUAGAACUUGAGGCUUGCCGCGUUCCCUGCCUGAUGAAUGGCUCCAUCGUCUUGAAUUUCCAGCCAAUAGGCUUCAUCGCCCAAUACUUCUAUGAACCUGUAUGGUAUAAAAGUUUGGUGUUGUACUGCCCUUUACCGUCUAGCUACGAUAGGACAUAAUCAUUUGUCAAUCUCGACACAUGAGAUCUAGCAGAUCUGUCAAAGUGUUUGAUCUUUGUUGCAUAUUGUAGAUCGUGAACUAGUACACCAGGUAAGUUUCCACCCAAGAAAGAGGGUGGGUCACCAACGGACGCGCUUAAAUACCAAGUCUUUCCUUGCCAGAACUUUCCUUAUCUUAAAACAAUAAUAAUUAUAUUUUUCAUCUUCAGACUAAUAUCACAACAGACUCAAAAGAUAAUAAUCAUUUAUCUUUGGAAUAACAUCACAACAGAUAAAAUAUCUCUUUAUCUUUUAUCUCCAGAAAAAUAUCACAACAGAUAAAAUAUUUCUUUAUCUUUUAUCCUCAUAAUAAUAUCACAACAGACUUAAAAGAUAAUAAUAAUUUAUCUUUGGAAUAACAUCACAACAGAUAAAAUAUCUCUUUAUCUUUUAUCUCCAGAAUAAUAUCACAAUAGAUAAAAUAUAUUUUUUUCUUUUAUCUCCAGAAUAAUAUCACAACAGAUAAAAUAUCUCUUUAUAUUUUAUCUUCGGAAUAAUGCCGCAACAGAUAAAAUAUUCCUUUAUCUUUUAACUUCAGAAUAAUAUCAUAACAGAUAAAAUAUUUCUUUAUAUUUUAUCUUCAGAAUAAUAUCACAAAAUAUAAUAUCACAACAGAUAAAAUAUAAUAUCACAACAGAUAAAAUAUUUCUUCAUCUUUUAUCUUCGGAAUAAUAUCGCAACAGAUAAAAUAUUCCUUUAUCUUUUAACGUCAGAAUAAUAUAACAACAGAUAAAAUAUUCCUUUAUAUUUUAUCUUCAUAAUAAUAUCACAAAAUAUAAUAUCACAACAGAUAAAAUAUUCCUUUAUCUUUUAACUUCAGAAUAAUAUCACAACAAAUAAAAUAUUCCUUUAUAUUUUAUCUUCACAAUAAUAUCACAAAAUAAAAUAUCAAAAUAGAUAAAAUAUUCCUUUAUCUUUUAACUGCAGAAUAAUAUCACAACAGAUAAAAUAUCUCUUUAUCUUUGUUACCUUUUCUGGGUUGACAAACAUCUGAGCCGAGCUCACGACUGACCUCUUGUGCCCAAACACCGAGAUGACCUCUCCCAAACACUUGUGUCGAGAUGACGAGCUCUCCUGCAUGGUACACAUGUCACCCGUCUUACUUGCCACUAGGUAAUUAUUUACUCACGGAGCGCCUAUACUUGAGUGGUAGUACUAACACCGAGCUAGGUUGACUUACCUGUGUUGUGCUUAAGCAAAUCAAUCCCACGCAGUGCUUAUGCUCGUACUUAUACCGAACUAGGUUGACUUACCAUGUGCAAAUUCAAAUAAAUCAACAAAGCUAAAUGCCUCAUCUUCCAAGAACAAAUUUAUCACACAUCGAUCAAAAAGAAAGCAUUAAGCAAGAAUAUCAUAGCUGAAAUACAACUCGAGGUUUACCACAUUCCACGUGGGCUCAACUAGUCAGCCUUGGCUUCUUCAUUUGCCGCUUGGAAGGCUCUCAUUGUCUUCAUGAUAUGCUGCAAAGUGGGGUCCUCGCUUCCUUCAAAUCCCAGUGGACCUUGCCUCAUAUUCCUCAUUACGUCAGAAAACUCAAACACAACUUUGGAUGGGAUCAAGUUUUAUCGGGCCCCACGGUGGGCGCCAAAUGUUCUUGUCAGUUGACCUGGUCGUCGGUUGACUUCGAGGACAAGCUCUGGCUUCGUCUAUCUCUGGUCGAUUCUGUGCUUCCCUUUGGAUGUUGGAACGCGGCUCCAUUGAGACAGAAGGGGUCCUACCUAUUGAUUGCACUCCGACGAUCAAGUCAGUACAGGGCUUAUAGAAACAAGAAGUAAGUAAGUAGUUUCAUUCUUAGAAACAACGUACAUUCACCUGGGAUCUUAAGUCUCUUUUAUAGACUACCUCUAGGCUACCUCUUGUAACAACCUUCUCUCAUGAGAAUCUUAUCUCGAGUGAAAGCAUGUUUAAUGGGAGAAGAGUCUGUUACAAUGCGCACAAUCUUAGCGCUACAACUGCACAAAAUCUUAUGUCCUUGGAGUUCAUAAAAUCUUAACAGAAUAACCACCAGGGUACCAACCCAUGUACCAGCAUCAGGGGUCCAAUCUAUUUCACGUAGGCGCCCUCAGUGUGGCGCUACGCAUUAAACAUGCAACUUACUUACCGUCUCGUACCACACACGGGCUUAGGUUUAAAGAGAAUAUUUUACUUGUGCUAGACACCACAUGUACUAAACGUACCCCUAUGUUCACAAAUACGCUUAAUUAGUAUCCCUAUGCUUACAUAUAAAAGAUUACUUCAACUAUGCCGUACUGACCAAAUUGGGUCCAACCACGUGGCCCAUUUUACUGGCCCAACAGCUGAGCUGAACUGCUUACAUCAUGCACCAAGAUCUGACCCCCGAGCACUGAGCCUUGAGCACUCUGUCCAGUACAAAUAGUGUUUGAAGAAAAAUUCUUAUUUUGUAAUGCAUUUAACAUGGAUUAUUGAUGAGCAUGUAUUUAUUCACACUCAAUAGCUUUAAUCAUGGAUUAUUGGACUAUAAUAAUAAAUAAAUUCAUUGUAUUAAUUUAGAUUCAUAUAAUUGAGUUUAUUUGGGCCUUAACUAUUAUUAUUGUUAAUUUUGUGUUUUUAGAGUAAAUUAUUCGGAGGAAGCAUCUACCUUUGUGAAUGGGCCAAAUAUGCAAAAGUCCAAGUUGCUUCUUGAACCAAAACAGGAAACAAAUUCCGAGGAGAAGAAAGAGAAAAUAAAAUCUACAAUAUCUCAAAAACAGAAUUGGAAGCAAAUCCUCUACAAAAUACAAGAAUUCUGGAAACUUGGAAACUGUUAACAAAAUAUAAACUACAAUAUUUUCCCAAGAUCCUUGAGUAGGAAAGCCUAUAAAAGGGCACAAGCAUCAUGGAGAAAGGAGAGAGCUUCAUGGGGUUUUCUUAGUUUAUUUUCUUCUUUGUAAUUCUUUUGUUUUGCCUCCGCAUGGAAGGCUAAACCUUUUUGGUUGGUUCUUUUGUAAUUCCCCAUUGAGUUAUGAGGUUUUGUUCAAUAAAAGUUUCGAUUUUUAAUUCUCUAUAGCAGUUAUUUUAAUAGUCUAAUAUUCUGGAAAACUAGUUUUUGUGAGAGGUUGUACUUGAACGCAUGAUUGACAGUCAUCCUUAUCUUAAACUUUGGUUUCUUAGUUAGUUCACAUUGUUCUAAUUAAUUUCUUGGGCGCAUGAUUCAAGAGAGAGGAGGUAAGCAUUCCCAUGGAGUAUACGCGUGGAACAAAGUGGGUAUUGAUUAAACCAGUAGACGCAUGUUUUACUAGUGAGUUUCAGUUAAAUUAGAUUGGCGAAUGUUCAAUCUAGUUUAACUCUGUUGGAGGAUUGAGAAAAGAUUAAUCUUUAGAGAACCUGUGAAGAAUUCAAUGGUUCUCUUUUAUAUUUUCUGCACAACUAUCUCAACCCCUUUUUAUUAUUAUUGUUAUUGUUAAUUUUUAUUCCUUGCGGAUAGAUUCUAAACACUGAUCUCCUGAUUUUACUAUUGGAUUCAUUGUGAGACGACUUGGGGUUAUUUGACCAUAAUUAUACUAUUAUUUGUCUAGUGUUAGACAAGUCUACACUAGAAUCACAUUUAAUUUGACUGUUAAACGACAUCUAUCAAUUAUAGUUAUGAGUAAUGCUAAAUAUGAGAGUGAAAUAAUUGUGUAUAUAGUUAAGUCAACAUAUAAGAGGUUAGAGAAUAGGAUUGAAAUGCACAUUUUAUUAUGGAAACCUAAAACUAUCACUACUAGAAAAUCAUUAAAUAGAAAUCAAUUUUAGAGAAAAAAUAAUAAUUAAUUACUAUAUUGACUACAUUAGAAAGUAUUUUAGAGACUAUAAAUAUUAUUGAUAUCUAAAGUAGUUUCUAAAUUUAUAAACUAGUUUACAAAUUGGUAUCUAAUUAGCUAAUUGGUAUCUAAAUAUGAGAGUGAAUGGUGUUGCUUAAUUCGGUUGCCACGAAAGAUAACUUGGAAAAGCGCGGUGUCUCUGUUGAUAACAACCUUUGUUGUUUUCGCAGGGUGGAAGUGGAGUCAGCAAGUCAUUUGUUUUUUGUAUGCAUGAUUGUUUGGCUAGUUUGGAAACAGUGUUAUGCAUGGAUGGGAUAACGUCGGUAGAUCAUGUUGAUCCAGUUUCACACUUCUUGCAUUUUAAUUUAUUAAAUGCUCCUGUCCAGGUAAAUGUUGUUUGUGGUAAUGUCUGGAUUGCAAUUGUUAAUGAAAUCUGGAAGCACAGGAAUAAUCAUAUUUUCAGAGGUGGAGUGAUUGAUCAUUCGGAAUUGUUUACCUUAGCUCAAUUAAAGGUUUGGUCUUGGGUAGCAUCUAAAUUUUUUUCUGCUCGCUUUACUUAUUCUGAGUGGUGCAUUUAUCCUGUGGCCUUUAUGUUUUUGAUUAAGUGAGCUUAUGCAAGGUUUCUUCCUUUAGCUAGGUUAAUUGUUGUUUUUAGUUUUGUAAGGAUCUUCGGUUGGUAUUGUUGUAAUAUGAGUAUGUAUAAAGGUUGGAUCACUCCUAAAGUGAUUCAUAUUUAUUCAUUUUUUGACUGAUAAAAAAAAUAAAAUAGCUCUGCAUGAGGCAUAUUAUAGUCCAUAUAAUGAGGAGUUUGCAAACAUAAUAACAGGAAAAUGAUUUAUAUAGAACAGCUUUUUGAAUGAGCAAUGCGGAUGGAAUGGGCAUGCUGAACUAAAACAUGUUAUUAAUUCAUCAUUCAAAUAUUACAUUAGAUAAACUAGUUUCAGUAGUGUCCAUUUUCUACUAGUUUCUUCCCAACAAGCCCACAAUUUAGUGCUUCCCUUGGAAUUUUUCCAACUUUGUGGACACCCUCAGCAAAAAUCACACCCAUUCCCAUGUGCAAAUGUGGUUCAAUGUGGCAAUGGAAGGCCCAAACUCCUGGAUUAUCUGCCUUAAACCUUAAUGCAGUCCAACCAUAUGGAAAUAUCACUGCUGUGUUCCUCAAUGGUGCAUGUGUCAAGUUGAAUUUCUUCUCAUCACCUUGUUUGAAUUUGCCUUCUCCAUACCCCAAAACCCAAAAGUCAUGUCCAUGCAAGUGCCAAGGGUGAAUCUCACUACCAUUUCCACUCAAUUGAUUUGCAUUUUGCAAUAUCACAUCAACAACCUCGUUAAGGUUGAACUUGUACACCCCAUUGCCAAUGGUUGAAUUAGGGUUCACAGGAGGGUUGAAAAUGUCAUAGUCUUGAGGGAAGGUAACAGGUGGAGGUGUUUGAUCAAAAGCAUUGUUUAGUUUGAACUUGAUGGAGCCCAAGUAAGGGGUUGCUGGCAAUGUUAGGGACACAUUGUUAAUAGCCCAUUUUGUGAAUCCAGCAACACGGUUUUGGGUGUUGAGGAGAAAAAUUGUACGAUCAGAACGUUUUGGAGGUUGUGGGGUUCCCAUCUUGGCAAUGAUUUUCUUGGUGAAUGCUUUGCUACGUUCAAAAUCAUUCCAAAGGGGUGUGAGGGGUGGUGGAGAAGUUGGAAAAACUGAGGCAGAAAUUGUCUUGUAGUUUAGAAUGGUUAGACCUUGUGGUGUGUUAGGUUUUCUUCCUCUAACUCCAAUUGAAAGCCAAUAGUUUUUCUUUGGAUCUUGAUCUGUGCGAAGGAGAACUGAGUAGCUUUCACCAGAAUAAAUAUCCAUAUCAUCAACCACAAAUGGUGUAACGUAGUUUCCAUCAGCUUCCACCACAAUAAGUUUGUGAUUCUGCAUCACAUAUACAAAGUUACAUGAUAGUGUUAGUUGAUGCAUGAAAAUGAAUCUAUAGUUCUGUCAUUUGUGACACACUAGUAGAAUAAUAAAGUGAAAUUGUUUUACCCAUACAAUACCUAAUUUGUCUGGAGUAUUGACACAGGGUGAAUCAGGCACACUUUCAAUUUAAUAAAAGAAACAUUUCCUUUUUUUCUCAUCACUUGCUGCAUAGAUACUCUUCCAUUGUUUUCAUUUCUUUUUUUUUCUAUAUCUGUUUGUACACCCCCCAAAAUUAGAAAUAUAUACACACAUUAAAAUAUGCACUCAAUUAUGUCAAAUUAGUUACUCUAAUGCCAUGAUAAUAUUCUCCGAAUCAGUGGCCAUAACUUUCACGAUGUCCCAGGUCCCGCCAAACCAAACCCGUGGAAUCUUACUGAUAUAUAUUUUUGCCUUUUAUUUUCCUAAGAACACAUCAUUGUCUUUAUCCAGAGUGUUUCAGGGUACCACAACACAACUCAGUGAGUCCCACUCACGCAUGCAUUAAUUUCUAAUUUCCAACUCACUCCAUUAUUUGAAGAACAAAUAAUUGCCUCUAUUGUGUAACAUUCAGAGAAGAAGAAGAAAGAAAGAUUGUAUUGAACUCCAUUAAUUACAGAGGUAGAUCUCAGCUGUAUAUAUAACAGAGACGAAGAGAGAAGUAUAGUCUAUAAGAGACAAAUGUCUAUAAAAAGUACAUCGUCUAGAGGCACCUAUAUAAGCGUCAAUGUAACAAUGUCACUUCCCUUGAUAAGGCGUGUUUCCUCUGUUGUCGUCACUUUUAAAGUACUUUCAUAUUUUAAAAAAAAAAUAUGUUUCUCAUUUAGGCCAGAAUAUAAUAUAAAAUUGGUUUUUAUCACUAAUCUAAAUUUUAG
RNAcentral lists this long non-coding RNA (53951 nucleotides) under Phaseolus vulgaris (common bean). RNAcentral describes it as "long non-coding RNA (PVUL_LNC002513)". The record is from RNAcentral. Lineage: Eukaryota; Viridiplantae; Streptophyta; Magnoliopsida; Fabales; Fabaceae.